This 69986-nucleotide long non-coding RNA is filed under the name Prunus persica (peach). Its description in RNAcentral is "long non-coding RNA (PPER_LNC000059)". The record is from RNAcentral. Lineage: Eukaryota; Viridiplantae; Streptophyta; Magnoliopsida; Rosales; Rosaceae.
UGUCGAGCACUGGACCGAUGACCUGCGAAAGAAGUUUGAGACCCUGAGGCUGAAAAUGCCAUGGUACACAGUGCAGAACCCUGCACCCAUAGCCGGAAUCAGGUUUAUCAAGGAGGAGUGGAACUUCAAGGGUAAGCCUGCACUGGUGGUGAUGAACCCACAAGGAAAGGUUGAGCAUUCCAACGCUCUCCACAUGAUUCGGAUAUGGGGAGUUAAGGCCUUCCCUUUCACAAAGGCAACUGAAGAAGAACUCUCACAUUCUCACAGAGAUAGAUGGGUGGGCAAUGUAGUCCACGACAUUCACCCAUCUCUUCCCAAUUGGGUAAUUUCCUUUUAAAAGUAGAGCUUAUGUUGCAUAAAUUACGUUCUUAGACCGGAUUAGUUUGUCACUUUACUUGACAGAUGACAAUUUAUUGAUGUAACAAGUGAAUCUCGCUUACCAUAAAAGUAAUGUGAUCCGUAGAUGUGGUCCACAAAUAUUACGGUCUCUGUAGCAUUACUCUUACUUGGAUAUAAAAUGCUCGUACAUUUGGUUAAUUAAUUUAAUUACCUUGGAAAACCAGAUCAAAGAGGAAAAAUACAUCUUCUUCUAUGGAGGCAAAGACAACGACUGGAUUCAGCAAUUCACAAAGAAAGCAAGUGCCCUCGCAAACGACCCUGUUUUCAAGGAAGCAAAGAUUCACAUCGAGUUGUUUUGUGUGGGGAAGGGAAGCAAAGGAGAAGAUGACCAUGGCAUUCUAGGACACUUCUGGUCCGGCAUAGAAAGCCUCUUCUUCACCAAGGGCCACAAGCAAGUCGACCCAGUCACUCAAGAAAUCCAGAAGCUGCUUUCUUACAAAAACGAAAGUGGAUGGGCUGUGCUCAGCAAAGGGUCUUCUGUGUUGCUGACUGGCCAUGGAGUCUCAAUCUUAAGGGUCAUAGAGGACUUUGACAAAUGGAAGGACCAUGUGAAAGAGAAAGGCUUUGAGUUUUGUUUCAAAGCAUACCAUGAGAAGGUUCGUCUUGCAACUCGACCUUGCUGCCGCCUAGAUAUUCCAGGCUCUACCGGGAAGGUCCCAGACACAAUGAAAUGCCCAGAUUGCCACCGUAGCAUGGAGACUUUUAUCAGUUACAAGUGCUGCCACAUUGAUGGCCCUAAUGCACAUCAUUAAAUUAAGUUUAUGUGGCUAAUCAGUUAAUUAACUAGUAUAUUGUAAUGGCUAGAAUAAAGGGCAUAUAGCUAGCUCAUGCAUUUUGAUGCCUGUAAUGUGUGGAGUUGUGAUUGUAAUUUCGUCCUACUAUGUUUUCUUGUGGUCAGAGUUGUGGUAAUGUGAUGUAUGAUUUGUUGGCUAAUAAUAAUAUUUGAAUAAUUUCAAAGUACUGUUUUUGGUUGUAUACUAAUUUACUUGGGGCAGAAUAAAUUUCCGCCCUAAACAAAGGAGGGGCGGAUUAAAGAAGCGACCUUAAAAAAGUGCCUCUAAUAGUAUUAGUGGUGCAUAUUUUUGUAAAUCCGCCUUUAUUGUUUUUCUUGAUAUAUAUGUUACUAUAAUAGGGGCUGUUUUUUUUUUUUUUGGGUUCAAACAAAAGAGAAAUUCCAUUAAAACUGAAUACCAACUUGGUCCCAACAGUGUACCUCUCAUGCAGUAUGACAGGACCCGAUCCAAAUUCUGCUUUGAAAUCUGAGUCAGACCCUGUGCGUGUCCGACACCUGGUGAAUGUCGGGCACAAAUGACCUAUUUGCCCUUCUAUACAAAACACGAUAAAAACAACAAGGUUGACUUCUACCGAAAAACCGGCAGAAUUUCCCUUGUAACUGGCUCAAUACCAAAACAUUUUCACCUGCCAAAUAAGUAUACAUAUCUACAACCAACUGCCAGCAUACGUAUAUAUACAUUCCAACAGUUCAAUUCACAGUCUAUGACAAAAUAUCAGAGCGACUACUAAGAAUUUACAAAGGAGUGAAUCUUUUUACAAAACAAAAAUCCUACAUCAAAGAAAGGCGCGGAAGAUGGGAAGUGGCCCGGUGGUGGAUUCCUGUGCACGUCUACUGCCUGGGGGCGCAAAACAACAAAAAGGGUGAGAGGACCCAAAAAUAAAGUUUAGAACAUAACAUAUGAACAUACUAACCCCACUUGUAAAAACUAGGGGUGGGCACUCAAACUGACGAAUCGGAAAUCCGAACCAAACCGCAUCGAACCAAACCGGAAAAAAAUCGAGUUGACCAAAAAGUCAAAAACCGGUCAAAAAUCGAACCGGACCGGUUUGGACCGGUUCCAGAUCCAGUUUCAUGUCUUUAAAAACCGAACCGGGCCGAACCGAACCGGUGAAACUAAAAAAAUAUAUAAUUUCAAUAUAUAUUUACAUUUAAUGCUAUAUUUUUAAUUUCAUUAAAAAAAACUAAUAUUUAUCCAAGUUCAAUGUCAAAAUAUCUCUCUUUUCCCACUUUAAUAUUUAUUUUUUAUAUGAAAUUGAAUAAUUUGUUAAUUUUCAAGUAAAAAAAUAAUAUUUCAGUUGAGAAUUGUAUUAAAAAAUAAUUUAAAAAAAUAAUUUUUAUAAUCCGGUUCAAAACCGAACCGGAACCGGAACCGGACCGAAACCGGUUCAAACCAAACCGGACAGUUUUUGAAAUUUUUUUUAUUAAAACCGAACCGAACCAAACCGGAUAAAUAGUAUCGGAUCGGUUCUAAUUUGAGGCAAAAACCGGUCCAAACCGAACCGUGCCCACCCCUAGUAAAAACAGUUAUACAAACUAGCUUAUUCUCUUUAUUUCUGAAAUCCAUGCAUGUAUAUAACUAUACAUUUGAAAACAGUUGAAAACUAUCACCUAGGUGUACCCCUAUUUCCGUCAAAUCCUUAUAUCCGUCAAUGCCUUGCAUCACCAUGGGUGACACAUACUCGCAGGUCUCAGUGACACGAGGUCAGUCCGAGCCGCAACUCGCAGGAUUCAGGGAACCGUAGUCCACCUUUAUCCGCAUUACUCGCUCCACACGAGUUCGAGUACCAAAGAACUCGUGGGGCAACUGUCAAGCAUGCUGACUAAACCGAAGGCAACAAAUAUAAUCCGAAGGCAACAUUUAAUAUCUGGGUACCAGGUGGUUUAAGAAAAUAUAAAGUUUCUGAAGAAAAUCUGUUGAAUAUUAACUUUCUGUAACCUUUAAAAUUCUGCUGCCAUUUAUCUGAUAAUUAACGGGAAUAUCUGUUCCUAUAAGCUUUAAAGGAAAUUUCACUCGGCAGCAUGCAACAUAAAAUAUUUUACAGAAUAAAACAGCUGAUAACUGAAACUGAACUGCUUAAAUUCAUUUAUGAAAACAAAGAGUCCACUCACUGAUAGUCUGAGCUCACUGGACCUCUUGAAGGUCCCUCCUGCGGGUCAACUGGUGUCCGGGUGCCUAAUUCAAUGACCAUAAUAGUCUAUUAAUAUAAUAUAGUAUUAAAUUAAAAACUCUACCCCCGGCUCCUAAACGUACGUGCGUGAAUUUAAAGUGAUCCCUAUGCCCAGAAAAGCUUUCCUUCCACGUGGGAUAGUUUAGCGGUAUCUUGGGACUCAAAAAGCGCUAAAGUCCAAAAAGUCAAUCCGAGACCCCAUGGGUCCAUGACCUCAUAAUAUGAUCCGGAAGCCGCUAGAAGGUCCAAUAUGUCUAGGACACAUGUCCCGAGGGUAUUGGUGUCGAUCGGACGGUCGGAUUACUCACGAUCGUGUAAUCGCAUAAUUUCUAAACCCUAGCCCUGGGGUUCGCGAUUUUGGAGUAUCCGGGACUCCGAUUCACAAUCCGUCGAAUCCUACACGUUUCUAAAAUUAUCUAGAACAACAUAUCUGAACUUGAUUACGAUCCAAAGGCUCAACAGUAUUGAACCCGAUAAUCGCACAAUAUAGAAAAUCCGUUCAAGGCUCAAACGGUAUCCAAAUUGAGAUCCGUGAAGUCCUAUGCGCUCAUGACAACCUAAGGAUCGCAUCAGGACACAGUGCCACUGCACCACCCUCGCCCACGCCCCGCCGCAAGCGCCGGCAGUGAUGGGUGUCCAAAGCGAUAACGCAUUGCCGGAAAAUCUCAAAACCAAGGCUCCAAACUCCUAUCCUAGGUAUAACACCAUAUUUGGAACCUCUUUUGUUCUUGGACCAACCCCAAAAACUGACCGGACGUGGCCGAACACAGAGGCCGAAAACCGGCCGAAUUCCAAUUUGAAAACUGAGCUAGCUACGGUGAAAAUCAGUGCAAACCUACCCAACCAUCAGCUAGAGCAUGGAAAAUAGGUAGAAAUUCAUACCUUACUCGAUAAAUUUGGAGGAGAAUUGAAGGAGAACGAACGGUUACAAAACUAUGCAAAACCGGCUCGUUUUUGGACGGAAUCCGGCGACUACAGCGACGGCUUGCAGCGGAGAGUGGUCGGAGCUUGAAGACGGAACCGAGCUGGUUCUAUUGGCGCCGACGGCAGGGGCAGAGGUGGUCGGUGGCGGGAGUUAUGGUGGUUGGAAGGUGACGGCUGGAGGUAGACAGCGGGAGAGGGAGAGAGAAAGAGAGAGAAGCUGAGGUUUUAUCAAAAAUCUGAUUUUUCCAAUUUACCGUUUUGCCAUUCGUGAUAUUUUAAUCGUAUUUUCUUCGUUAAAGCUCCGAUUCGAGCUCACUUCGUGUCUACGAACUCGUUUCGUCGUGCUCUACGCAACGGUGUAUGUGGAAUUGUCAAAUUCCUUUUCGGUCAAAAAGUCAACUUUGAGGUCAUAAUUUAUUCAAACGGCAAAAUUGUCUUUCCUCAUCAUAAUAUACUAAUUAUAAAUGAAUUUUAAGUUUGGGUCAUUACACAGUAGAUACAAAACACUACAAAAAAUAGUUCCAUUAUUUUUUGAAGCAGAAAAUGAUAGUUUAGAAAAGAGAAGAGAAGAAUUCAAGAAUGAAUUUGCAAGAGAGAAACAUAAGACAGAAUUCAAGAGGGUGAAUUCUUGAGUAUUUACAAGGAUAUUAAAGGGUUUAAGCAAAAGGGAGAGAGAAAUUAACACCUAGGGUUUGAGAUGAUAUAGAGCUAAAGGGGUUCUUGUUGUAACCAAAGUUCUUCAUGUUCUUCUAUUGAAAUUUCUCAAGGGGAUCACCAAAGAGGACAUAGGCACGAGGCCGAACCUCUAUUCUUGUGUGUUUGCUUUACUCUUUUCAUGGUGUGUGCGUGUUUUAUUCUCAUGGGUUUGUAUGUGUGUCGUCGCAUAGUCCAUCAACGACAAGAUUUUGGAGUGUUUUCACACAACAAGUGGUUUCAAAGCUACUAUUCGAGACAUGCUCUUAUAGUUUUAAGAGUGUUUGCAAGUGUUGACGAUGACCGACGACAAGAAGGCAGAAAAGAAAAUGAUGCAACCACAAACGGAUAGCGUGAAGCUCGAGGUGAAGAUAUUCACAAGGAAUGAGAAAUUCACGCUAUGACAAAGAAAAAUGAAACAUGACCCAGCCCAGAAAGGUCCAACCAUUAAUAUUAUCUUGGUAGGUGAGGAGAAAAGGCUGGAAACCAUGACAACGGAGGAGAGGGACAUGCUCAGAGAGUUGGCUAGUAGGUCCAUCAAGGUGAUGGAAGCACAACAAAGCAAACACGGGAAAAGCUCAAACGGAUGUUUGAAGGGAAGUCAAAAUCAAACAAACGCUUCAUGAAGGAAGAGCUCCUAAAUCUUCGGAUGAAGGAGAGUGGAAAUCUCUUGGAGCAUCUUUGCACUUAUAAUAGGAGUAUUGUGGACUUACAAAAGGUGGACGUGGCUUAUAGCAUGGAGGAUGAGGCAUUGAUGUUGUUGGCAUCUUUGCCUCCAUCAUAUGAACACUUCCGGACUACACUGAUGAUAAAAAAGAGUACUUUAAAUUUUGAGGAAGUGGUGCAAGACUUGGCGCAUCACAGGUUGGCUCAAAGUUUUGGAGAUAGCUUUCAAGGUGCUCGUAUAUUAACAUGGACCGGAGAGAGGGCCGUUCAAGCAAGCGAAAGGCAAGAAAGGCAAUGGGAGGAAUCCUAAAUUCAGGGACAAUGAAGGGUGCUUCAAGUGUGAGUUUACGGACCAUUGGAAGCGGAUUUUUCUGAUAUAGAAGGAGAAGCAUAACAAGAUGACGAAUGUCGAAAGUUCAAGCGCAACUAGUGAUGAACUUUUGACGAUUACAGAUGAGGAGCGUAACGGGAAAGUCGUGGCAAAUUCUUCAGAUAAGAGUUCUACUUUAGUUUGGAUUUUAAAUUCUAAAUGCUCUUAUCAUGUGUGUUCAAAUAAGAGUGUAUUUGAUACAUAUGAGGAAAGGAAGUGUAGCAAGAUUCUGUUGGGAGACAAAACAAGUUAUGAUGUUUUGAUUGUGAGAACAGUGAGGAUCAAUAUGCAUGACGGUGUUGUUAGCCUUAAUGAUGUAAGGUAUGUACCAACACUAAGAAGUAAUCUUAUUUCCCUUGGCACUUUAGAUAGAGAAACAUAAGUUAGUAAAAAUUAAGCGCCCCUCAACUUUCAUUGAGGGAUCCCUUAAAUAAUUUUAUUUGAGGGACACCCUUUAGAGUACCCUACGAAUUUUUUUUUCAACGAUACAACCUAUCUAUUUUUCAAUUCUUCAUUCAUAGAUCAUCCUUGCAAAACAUCAAUACCAACAAAAUCAAUGAACACGGUGCUUCAAGAAAGUACUUAAAUUUUAAUAAUUUAAUUGAAUAGUCAAAUAAUAUCUGAUUUAAGUGAUUUUUUUGUAGAGAUGAUCUUUGAAUGAAUAUCUACAAAAUAGAUUGGGAUUAGUGAAAUACAAUGCGAAAUGGACUCUACAAGGGUGUCCCUCAAAUAAGUUAUUUGAAGAGUCACUCAACCGAAACUCUGUAUAUGUGUAUAUAUAUAUAUAUAACUCCAGUAUUAACCCCUGAUAUCAUAAACAGAAAUGUAAACAAUGAAAUAAUUACACUGCGUCUCUAAUGUAAUCAUCUAGAUGAAAUGUAUAUAAACCUAACUAACCAAAGAUUAGUUAUAACAGCCAUUAACAAAUUCAAACAAACUGCCAACGACUAUAGCACCUGUCUAGAAGAAUCUGUUGGCUGGCAGCUGCUGAGAUGUACACUGUAUAGCAGCUGCUAGAAGAAAAAUGAAGGGAAAUGUAUGAAGGAAUUUGACUAUAACAGUUCAAUAAUAUCUUACAUAUUUUGUAUUUUAUAAAAGGGAGAUUCACUAUUAUAUCCAACAUAGGAGCCCAAAUUAUAAAAAAAUCUCAUAUGAAAUGGACUUUAGAAACAUACCCAAACCCCAUUUACAACAUAACAAAAAAACUUUUAACUUCUUUUAAAUUACAAAACUAUCAUUGAUUUCUUAAAACAAACCCAACCCCAAAACCUCAUUAAAAAAAGCCCAAAACAAUCAAUAGGGCAUCAAAGUAAUUUAAUAAUCAAAAUUAAAUUCAAUAGGGCCAGUUGUCAUUUUUUGGGUUUGUUUAUAGAAAUUAAAUGGUGUAGGGUUUAUUUAUAGUUUUAGUGCUAAGAAUGGGUAUAUGACUAAAUAUCUCUUUAUAAAAUUAGAAAUGAUAGCGUAAUUAUGUGCAGAAAGGGUCGAAGAACAAUGAAAAAAGAAGCCAGUUGCAAAAAAUUAGAUAUUUAAAAAAAAUUAAAUUCAUCAUGUACCUUGACAUUGAAUUACAAUAUUUACCUACUCAUAGUCUAAAAUAUGGAUAAUAUCGACAAAAUAUCGACGAUAUUAUCGUUUUUUUGGGUCACAGAUAUUUCGGAACUUAUCCAUACACAUAUUGUAUAAAUAUCGAUGUAUAUAAUUUCGCUCACACUUCAGCAAUAUUUUGUCAAAAUAUCACUAUAAUAUUGAAAAUAUCGAUGUAAUGGAAAAAAGGAAAAAAAAAAAACACAAAGCGCACACAGAAAGGGGAUCCGAACCCUUGCCAUUUCACUCCUCCAGCGUCUUAAUCACCAUAUUGCUUAUGUUUUUGUGAUAAUAAGCAAAGGAGAACUUUAUGUGGUACUAAGCCACUCAUAUAUCUUACCAUGCAAUGUAUGAAGUGUAAAAUAUUGUAGUAAAUCAUAAUAUACAAAUGAUUAUGGUGUGUUUCUUUCAUUAGUUAUUACAUAUUUUCUACAUAUACAGUGUUUGUUAGCUCGCUAUAUAAUCAACUUAAAUCAGUUAAACCCAUCAUGCAAUGCAUUUCAUUCCAAUUUUUUGUGAUAAACUAAUAGAUAAUUGACUAAAUAAACAUCCUCCAAAGUUUCAAUAAAAUUUUUCAAGUUUUUCUUACAAUUUCCUUAGUUUUUAUUCAAUAUCAAUAUUCAAUUUUUAUCGAUAUCAAUAAUAUUCCGAUAUUUCCAUCGAAAUUUCCGUAUUUUUAGACUACCGAUAUUUCUAAUACCAUCGAUAUUUUAGACUUUGCCCACUACUACUAGUGUUCAACAUCAUCUAUCCACAAAAACAUCACUUUUAAAUAUUUAUGUAUAAAAUAUCGAGCAUAUCAUGCACGAUCAUUCGAAGAAUUUGUUUGAACAUAUAUAAAUGAAAUGACCCUACAUUUGACAAUGAGGUUUACUUUAACACUUAUAUAAAACGGAAAUAAUAUUAUUUUGUUAUUUUCGAUUAAUUACAAUAUACCAUACGUAAAUAUAUCUAUUACAUAUAGUUUCUUUAAAAAAAAUAUAUAUCUAUUUACAUAUAUAGUUAAGAUUCAGCGAGGACUUCUAAUGUAGUUUAAAGCAUAUACAAUAUCUACGAUGCUGUCGAAAUAUAAUUUUCAUAUAUUUUUUUAAAAGGUAAAAUCACAUUACUGUGCUUCUAUAUUUGAAAAAUGAAAUUUUAAGCAAUUUUCAUAUUAUGUAUAGCUCUUUCAUUUCUAUGUUUUUUUUUUCCCUAUUUCCUUCUGGUUUUUAUUAACUCCUCCCACCUAGCAAACUUUCUACACCCAACAAGAUUUUAGAAACUUAAUAAUUUACUCUCAACACCCAUAAAAUCUUCAAGAACUAACGCAUCAUCAAAUAAACCUAGUUUUACCCUCAACCUUUCCUCCACUUAUUUCUAAACUUCUUCAUGUAACAUGAUUUUUUUGGUGAGUCCUUAUUUAGUUAGGAUUUUGGUUUCUUAUUUAGUUAGAAUUUUGGUUACUUACCAAUUAUUAUUUAGUCCUAUUGUGUCUGCGUGAAUUAGCUAAAGUUGAUUUGGAAGAAAUGCUGUCAUUGUUGUUGCCGUUGUCAUUGUUGCCGUCGUUGAUAUUGUCUUUGCUUUCUUUGCUUUCCGUUGCUAUGGUCAUUGAUGUUGUUGUGACCAUGCCAUUUGCCUUGCCUUGCCUUUACUUUGCCUUUGCUUUGUCUUUGCCUUUCCUUUUCCUUGCUUUACCCUAUUUUUAGAGUUUGGUUUUGCCUUUGCCUUUGUCAUACCUUACCCUAUUUUUAGGGUUUGGGUUUGCCUUACCUAUUGCCGUGCUCAUAGGAUUUCUCUAUUAUGCCUUACCUACUACUGUGCUCAUAGGGUUUCUAUGUUCUGUCUUAUCUACUACCAUACUCACAAGGUGUUUGUGUUUUGUCUUAUUGCCUUGCUCGCAGGGUUUGUGUUUUGUCUUAUCUACUGCCGUGCUCACAUGGUUUAUGUGUUCUGCCUUAUCUACUGUCGUGCUCACAGGGUUUCUAUAUUAUACUUUUAUGUGAUCUUCUAUGUGCUCUAUUUGUUAGGGUUUGUCAGUGCCGUGCUCACAUGUUUUCUGUGUUCUGCCUUAUCUACUACCAUACUCACAAGGUUUGGGUUUUCUCUUGUGUUUCCGCUGCGAUCUUUGCUUUGGUUUGUCAGUUGGUCCACUCAUGGUUGAUGAAAAGAACUUCUCUAUAAUUUGUUUGUCUCAAGUUGGGCAUGUGAAACAUCUUUGUCUCAACUUGAGGCGAAAUGUUGGCGAGUCCUUAUUUAGUUAGGAUUUUGAUUUCUUAUUUAGUUAGAAUUUUGGUUACUUACCAAUUAUUAUUUAGUCCUAUUGUAAUAGUGAUUUAUUUCCCAUUGUAAUUUAGAUAUAUUUUCUAUUUUAUUAAGGAUUAACAUAUCUUUGUAUUUGUAUAAAUACUUUUAUAUUGAAGAAGAAUAAUAAUAUAAGCAUAUGAGCAUAUGUCACAUCCCGGGAUCGACUCCGCCGUAGCACGAUAUUGUCCGCUUUGGGCCCCCUCUCUCUGGCCCUCACGGUUUUACUUCUGGGAGCUCACGAGCAACUUCCCAGUGGGUCACCCAUCCUGGGAUUGCUCUGGCCCCCAACUCGCUUAACUUCGGAGUUCCUACGACUCCGAAGUCAGUGAGCUCCCAAAAGGCCUCGUGCUAGAUGGAUGCGGGUGUGCACAUAUAAGGCACAUCACCUUCUCUCCGUUGGUUGAUGUGGGAUCUAAAAUCCACCCCCCUUAAGGGCCCGAUGUCCUCGUCGGCACACUCGCACCACACGGCAAAGUGGCUCUGAUACCAAAUUGUCACAUCCCGGGAUCGACUCCGCCGUAGCACGAUAUUGUCCGCUUUGGGCCCCCCCUCUCUGGCCCUCACGGUUUUGCUUCUGGGAGCUCACGAGCAAUUUCCUAGUGGGUCACCCAUCCUGGGAUUGCUCUGGCCCCCAACUCGCUUAACUUCGGAGUUCCUACGACUUCGAAGCCAGUGAGCUCCCAAAAGGCCUCGUGCUAGAUGGAUGCGGGUGUGCACAUAUAAGGCACAUCACCUCCUCUCCGUUGGUUGAUAUGGGAUCUUACAGCAUAACUGAAUAUUUAUCUUACUUUAUUUGACAGAUCCAUAUCCUCUCUAAUCGUGGAGGUUGUUCUUAUUUCAAUUGGCUUUUCAUUUUACGCCUCACCUAUCUUUUUCCUUCUUCAUAUCCAUUAAAAGUAUAGCCUGUUGUAUCACUUUCAUAAUUUAAUCUCCGUGGAGUCUGAAAUCUUUUGGCCCUUUGGUUAAAGUGAAAAAUGUCAUUGAUGUCUGUCGCCAGAGCCAUGUGGCAGAAGCACAAGGACGAUUAUGGUUAUGUGGAAUAUAUGCAUGCAGCUGCCCUUGAAUUUUUUUAAUUUUUGUGUGUAAUUCUGUAAUGGACGUAGAUACAAACAAAUUAAUUAGGUCCUCAUUGGCAUUCACACAUGCAAAUUCAAAAUAUGUGUGAGAAUGUGAAGGUAAAAAUGUCUUAUAUUGAAAAAUUAAUAAAUUUUGAAAGAGUUUAUAAGGAGUUAGGUUACUUCCCCUAUUGUCAGUUGAUUUUAAAGUAGAACCUCAACGUGCUGUAAUUAUUUAUGUCCUCGAUUGCCUAAGAUUUCAUGUCCCCAUUCACACAUGUAGAUGGCGAGGACACCUCUUGAUUUAACCUAAUUUUUUUUUAUAUCCACACACACGCAAUCUCAUGCAUUUUAAGUCUAAUAUGCGAACAAUUUAACUAGGUGACGCAAAGCACAUGUAGCCGUCACAUGGGCAAAUUUAACCUGACUUUGAUGCCAAUAAGAAAGUUGAGAAUCCAUUCCAAAAUUAAAUAUUGACUAUAAAAGGAGUAGUUUAACUCUUUAUAAAUCUAUGCAAGAGUUCUUAAGUUUGUAAGUUCAUAAUUCUGUUAGGUUGUUAUUAGUUAGUUAGAUGAGAUAAUCAAUCAAGUAUUUAGUUGAUUAAUUGUGCAUUGACAGAGUAUGAUCUUCAAUAUUAAUGACAAUGAAAUAAUUACACUGAGGUUUAUAUACAUCUCACCUAAGCUGACAUUAGAGGCUAACUAACCAAAGAUUAGUUAUAACAGCGAUCAACAAAUUCUAACAAACUGCUAACGGCUAUAACAGCUGUCUAGAAGAAUCUGUUGGCUGCUGACUUGCUGCUGAGAUAUAUAUAUAUAUAUAUAUAUCCACAAACACUCCCCACCGACUAUAGUGUUCAACGUCAUCGAUCCACAAAAACUUCAUAGUCAAGACAAAUCUAGUAAAGCACCAGUACACAUGUAUCAUGCGCACAACCAUUCCAAGAAUUUGUUUGCACAUAGCAUAUAUAAAUGUAUCAUGCACAACCAUUGUUUUGUUUUCUUCCACUAACAACCUACCAUUCUCAGAGACUAAUACGUACAAAUUGUCAAGACAUGUACAUGUGUAGUUUGAGAGCUCGAAUUAUCCAUCCUACAAUUAUAUAUAUGGCUUUCUUUGUUAUUAGAGUUUGAACCUGAGAUUACUGACUUCUUAAUACUAUACCUUUAUUUCCCUAUUUCCUUCCGGUUAUCAUUAACUCGUCUCACCUAGCAAACUAACUUUAUACACCCAACAAGAUUUUAAAAACUUAACCCAGCAAAUCUUCAAGGACUACGCAUCACCAAAUAAACCUAGUUUUACAUUCAACAUUUCCUCCACUCAUUUCUAAACCUCUUCAUGUAACAUGAUCCAUAUCCUCUGUAAUCGUGGAGGUUGUUCUUAUUUCAUUUUACGCCUCAGCUAUCUUUUUGGCUUCAUAUCCAUUAAAAGAAGGUAAAGUAUAGCAUGUUGUAUCACUUUCAUAAUUUAGUCUCUGUGGAGUCUGAAAUCUGAAGUGAACGCGUGGAACAAAGAGUACGAAAUCUCUUGCCCCUUUGAUUAAAGUGAUGAUAAUGCCAUUGAUGCCACAUGCAAAUAGUUCAAGAUCGGUCAGAAAAGCUAACAUUAUUUCCUUCCAGUUAUGGCAGAGAUACUUCUGUCGCCAGAGCCAUGUGGCAGAAGCACAAGGACGAUUAUGGUUUUGUGGAAGAGAUGCAUUCAUCUGCCCUUGAAUUUUGUAAUGGACGAACAUAUACAAACAAAUUAAUUAGGUCCCCAUUGGCAUUCAAACAUGCAAAUUCCAACUUUGAUUCAAACAUACAAAGCUUGUAAAGUCCUAUCCAAAGCUUGUGAUCACAUGUCCAACUUUUCCUAAUUCGAAGAGGAAAUUAUUAGAUGAGAAAUUCUUUGGUGGGGCUUCGAUCGUUAACCAAGAUUUUUUACUAAAACCAUUUAUACUAUAAGUACAUGUACUUAUUUGUUAAUAUUAUAGGCUCUAGGUUCAUGGUAUUGAGAGUGUUUAGAAAAUGAAAGUUUUUAAGUGUUUAAAAAAUUUUGGGCCUCUCCACUUAUUGUAAAUUAAUUUCGAAUUAGAUGCUCACAUUUUAAAAGAUAGAAUAUCAACUCGUACUAUAGUAAUAUUAUGUUAUCUGAAUCAAUAACCCUAUUUGACGGUUUAUAAUUGUCACAACCAAAUUUUUUUAGAUUUUUUAAAAUUAAAAUUUCGAACUUUUAGAGAUUUAGGAUUGAGUGAAUUUCACUAAACCACAUCAAUUGGAAGCAUAUUUGCCUUUCAGACCAAUAUCCUUGAUUCUUUUGUUAAUGCUUGGUUGCUGGAAUGAAUUGAAAUGAGCACAGAAACGAGAAUGAAAAUAAGAACGGAAGGGAACCAUUUAAGCCUUGAAUAUAAUUUCCAUUUUCAUUGUUUCGUUUGGUUCCUCUAACAACCAUCAUUCUCAGAGGACGUAAAAUUGUCAAGACUGUACAUGUGUGGCACGAGAGCUCGAAUCUCCUCUGACGCUAAUUGUUGUCUAGAUAUGGCUUUGUUUCUCGACCAAAAAGUUUUGCUCUCAAAUAUAAUUCCUCUUCUUCUUUUUUUUUAAUUUUUUUAUUUUUAGUACAAGGGAAGGAUUUCUCACAUACAAAUAAUAUCAUAGGAGUUCGAACCCGAAACAUCUUAUUAGCAAACUUUUAUUUCCAUAUUUUCUGCUGGUUAUUAACUCUUCCCACCUACCUACAGCAAACUGUUGGAAAAUUUAAUAUUAACUAAUAUUGAUUUUCCUAUUUGAAUGGAAAUUAAUAAAAUCCAUUGGGUUAAAGACAUCUUCACAUGGGGGGUGAUAACUCUUCAAACCAAGGGAUGCAUUGUUUGGGGUGACAACUCUUCAGACCAAGGAAUGCAUUGUUUGCCUUUUCAGAUUGGGAUACCUUUUUGGAAAGGGUAUUUCAUCAUCUAUAAAUAGAGCAAUCCUCCUACAGUUUUAUUCAUUCAGUUUAAUUCUCUACAUAUAGACUUUCACAUAUAGAAAGCAUUAGAGUUUUCAUAAAGAGAGGUUCCUGCAUAAUUUUGGUUCAAAGUUCCUUGUGAAUUGCAGUGCUUCUUUCAUAAGGAGGGGAGUCGUUGUAUCCUGGGAGGCGAACGCUAGUGAACCAUAAGCACCAGUGUGGGGCGUAAUUCGUCUUAAGGUCAGAGUGUCCAACACUUGCCUCGACUCAAUUAAGGUUCUUCUAAUGCAAUUAUGCUUUGUAAAAAUCUGUUUUAUGUGUAGUAGUUAUUUUGUUUAUUUUAUAGCAAUUAAGCACUCAUAUUUUCCAACACAAACUUUCUACACCCAACAGGAUUUUAAAAUUUUAAUAAUUUUGCUGUCCACACCCAUCUAGCAAAUCUUGAAGAAGCAUACAUCACCAAAUGAAUAAACCUAGCUAGUUUUAAAACUCAACACUUUCUCCACUCAUUUCUAAAAACCAUAUGAUCCAAAUCCCAUAUCUUUGUUUUGUUUGGCUCUAAUCGUGGUGAGUUAUUGGAUCUUGUCAUCGUUCUUCAUUUGUCUUUUCAUUUUACAGCUCACCGAUAUCUUCAUAUCCUUUUAAGUUUUCCUGUGGCCUGUUGUAUCACUUUCAUAUAACUUAAGUUUCCGGUACCCUUUUGGACGUUUGUUUAAAGUGACAAUGGCAUUAGUGCCGCAUGCGAGGGUUCAAGAUGGUCCAAAAAAUGGUAAAUAUUAUUUCCUUCCAGAUCUGGCAGAGACAUGUCUUCGAUUAAAGUGACAUUGACGUAAGUAGAAACAAACAAAUUAAUUAUUUAAUUAGGUCCCCGUUGGCAUUCACACGUGCUGAAUCCCAACGUGCUGUAUAUAUUUCUAUCCAGUUAUGGCAGAGACAUGUCUAUCACCAGAGCCAUGUGGCAGAAGCACAAGGCGAUUAUGGUUUUGUGGAAGAUAUGCAUGCAGCUGCCGUUGAAUUAUUUAUUUAUUUAUUUAUUUAUUUAAUUCUGUAAUGGACGUACAUACAAACAAAUUCAUUAGGUCCCCAUUGGCAUUCACACAUGCAGAUAAUAUAACGAGAACAGGUGAGGAUUCAUCGAUUGCGGAGUCAGGAUUUCACAUAUAAGAGGCAUCUCACAAAAUAUAUAUCACCAAGUAAAGUGAUUGAUAUCUACCCUUUGUCUUAUUGUUAUUAUUAUUAUUAUUUCUGGUGAUGAAUACUCUUGGUUCAUUUAUCAUUAUCACUAAGCUUAUAUAGUUUAUCAUUAUGCACAUCACAUGAUUCUUGCUUUGGUUUUUGCCAUUCAUAUCUGACAUCAAAUGUCUCCACUUGAUUGGUUUCAAUUUUUUUGUCCGAGUUUCUUGACUAUGAAUAUGAUAUAAGUGCCAGAAGCCAAGGCCUGCUGGGAUUAUCUUAUCUUCGAGGACAUAAAGACGACGAGUAUUUAGAAUUUUAUCUUUUGGUAACAAGAUUUGUAUUUAUUUAUUACUAAACCCAUGUGUUAGAUUAAUUAGAUUCUAAUAACAACCGUAACCAAAACCUAGUGCCACCCCAAAGUUUGGUCAAAUAUUAACUUUAUUAUUGAAGCUCAAGAUUUGGGUUUUGGUUAAGAAAACACAGAGACUGAUUUUUGGAAUUCUUUUUUGGAGCUUGAAUUUGUUAUAGGGCAAAACAAAAAGGGAAAUAUUAGCAACUUUCUCUCUAAUUUUCUUCUUUAAACCUUCUUCAUUUUCCUCAUGAUAUGUGUCAUUCUCCUAACACUUAAAACAAUGUCAUUAAUGCAUUAUACAAGCUAAAUAUAUAUUUUUUUUUUCUAAAUUUACCCUAUUCAAUUAUCCUUUUUUUUUUGACAACUUUCUUACCAUCUUAAUAAAAAGUGUUUUUUUUAAUGUCAAUUAUUUUUUUGAAAGAAAAUGUCUGCUUUUUUAAAACAGAGGAAAUGUAUGUUUUUUUUUUUAACCCAAAAGAAAUGUCAAGUUUCUAUAAAAGACGUCAUUCACAUCCGUAAGCACCCCAAUGGUAUAGAGUUUACAGACUAACUUUUUUUUUCAAAGAAAAUUGUUUGAUUGCAUUUUUUUUAUACUACUAAAUAAACCAAAAUAACCCCUAACAACAUAAGCUUGAGAUCAAAUAAAUAGAAGCAAAAGAAAAAAAAAAUCACCAAAAUCGAAUUUGAUAUGAAAAAAAUAAAUAUAUUACAGUUUAGAUUAACAAAAGAAGAACGAAAGAAUGGUCUGCAUCUGUACUAUACAAAUGGCUAUAAUAUGUUGUUCUACUCUAUUUUUAUUAUUUCUUAAUGGUCGUGAAGAUAAACAUUUAUAACAACCCAAGGCAAAAGGCUUAGAGGAGAGCCAAAACCUGUACAAAUAAGAAGCAAAGACCAGCAAAUUUGUUAAAUUUCACAUACCGACAAACAAAUACCCAUAUAAAUGACUUAUGCAAAGAUGCAGGCCGCAAACAAAUACCCAUUAACCUAAGAAAAUAGUUCCAAAAUAUAUCAAUUUUCAGCACAAUAAUAUUCCAAAAACGAAAAAACCAUAUCUUUGGCCUUAGACUUGGAGCGAGAGAAGCUUAACAAGAAGACUAUUGGCAACAAAGUUGGUUGAUAUAAAUUUUAUUAAUACAGUCAAUCAGUUCAUAGACAGAGAAGCAGAAAAAGAGUGCAUUUUGUGGUUGAGAGUUGAAAAGGCACGGAGAAUUCUUCUGAGCGACAAAGCUAGGAGAAGACGUCCAACAAAAUGACAAGGAGAAGAAGACGCUUUAGCUUCUAUCAAGGGCAAAUAUGGAAAUAUAAUAAUUAUUAUUUUUGUAAUUAAUAGCACUGUUUCAAGUGUAAAGAGAGUAACACACGUCAUGAAAAAAAAAAUCCAAAAAAAAAAAAAUUAAAGAAAAAAUUACUAGUAUUCUCCAAACAAAAAUAUUCGGGUACAAAAGAGAACAAGAGAUAAUCGGCUACGCGGCUUGCACCUGAUCAAAUUCAAAACCGAAAGGACUGAAAACUGGCCUGGCCACCCCCCACCUCCUCUCUCUUAAAAAAGAGACAAUAAAGGGUCAUUUCUCUGCUCCCACUACUCGAAGCUCCCGUGAUAUUUAUGAUGGCCCUUUGUCUGAAAUGUCUGUUUUAGUGUCCCAAAAAAAAACAAAACAAAAUAGACUUAUUAUAUUAUGUACCACCUCUCUAAUAGAGGUCGGUCUUAUUAUAUUGGUAGACUCCACUUUUAUUGGAGAUGUGGUAUACAAUGUGAUAUAAAAAUGUGAUAAGCCUAAUAUUACCCAAAAAAUAUUGUCUGUUUCUGUGAGUAAUUUGACUCGGAGAUAAUAUGGAAAGUAAGUUAGUAGAACGAGAUUCACGUGUCACUACCGUAAAAACUGAAAAUGGCUAUAAAUAGGGCAGGCGUAUUGCAAGUAUGCUGCACCAACAGCGAGCUACGAGAGCCAAUUCUCCUUGUUCAUUAUUAGCCCUGCCCUAGCCUUUGAAAUUCCUCAGCCAACCAUCACCAUGCUAGGCUUAGCAAACAAUGUGGUUAGCAAGGUGGCCUCAGUCGUCACUGGUCACCAUGAGCUUAGCCUGUUUUCCAUGUCUGACAAGAAAAUCUUGGACGAAAUUUAUGCAACUCAUCAUGUCAAUGUUGAUACUUCCUUUGAUGACGAUUCUCUUUUUGGCAUUGUUGAAAACAUCCUCAAGCAUGCAACCCAAACUGUUGACAAAAUUGUGCAGGUACGUUUAUUUUCUUAGUAUGGGAUCUGUUAUGUUAUUAAACUGUCGAUUCUUGAUUAUUAUUAUAGUUAUGUUGUGAUUUGAAUGUGUUACAUAAACUUGUGGGUUGUUGCAGGGUACCCAAGUGCACGUGGAAAACAUAGAGGAGCACACUCCCAAAGCCAGCUUCAGUACACCACUGUGCACACUUAAGUCAAUAGCCAGCGAGGUAACUUCAAAAAAUAAAUGAUUUUUAUAUAUUUCUUGUAACAUUUUUCAUGUAUGUACAUAAUACAUUAGUACGCUUUUUUGUGUUGCAAAUUAACACUAUGAUAAACUUGGUUUUUUUCAGAUGCAAUGCAAACCUCCUAGUGAGGAAGUCGCCCACAAAACUACCCUGGCAAUACUGAACAAGCUGUCAAGCUAUUCAUGGGAAGCAAAGGCAGUGUUGACUCUGGCAGCUUUUGCUAUGGAAUAUGGGGAGUUCUGGCUCCUUGCCCAGCUUCAGGAAUCGCACCGACUUGCCAAAUCAAUUUCAAUCCUGAAGAGAGUCCCUUUCCUCCUCAAGCCAUCAAACCUGCAAAAAAGAAGGCAAGCAGUGCUUGAGCUUAACAACUUGAUCAAGACUACAUUGCAAGUUAUCGAGAUCUUCGAUCAGUUCGAUAAGCUUUCUAGUUAUGACCCAAAAGAUGUGCCGGAGUUGGCAUCAGCAAUGGACCAUAUUCCAGUGGAUGUGUAUUGGGCUACUGUGACUGUUGUUGCUUGUGCAACUAAGGUCACUAUUCUUACCAGUGAUGUGUACGUUCUUCAUCCUCAAUAACUUUGAAAAAUACUUAUUUGCAUGUAUGUUUAGUAUACUUUAUAAUAUGACCAUGGUUGCCUUUGUUUCAGGGAGAAGGAACAUGACCUAGCCCCAUAUGCUCAAAAAAUCCACUUCGUCCUGAACAAGCUUAAGAUUCAGCUGAAAAUUUGCAGAACACAGAUUGGUGUGUAAUUACUGGCACAUCUUUCAUUAGGAAUCAUAUUAACUAUAUGUUGUACCUUGCAAUUAAUGAAAUGCUGAAGAAAAUAUUUAUUGUUUAAUCCAGAGGAGGCGGAGACUUACCGGAAGCUCAAGAAAACCUUUCGAACCCCUACUGAAGUAAAGGAGGUUUUCAAGGCCCUGAUCUUUACCAAGGACAAUGUUCAGCCACUGAUUGAUGGUUCCACUAAACAAACGGUUUGCGCUACUGACCUUAUUCUGAGUCAUGACAUUUUAUAAUUAUACACCACAUCUUUUAUAGAGUGAAACUGUGGUGGCGGGCCAUGAUUUUAAUUUAGUUUGAAGUAUGACAAGUUAGUUACACCAUUCCUAAUUAUUAUACCAGGUUGAGAUCGACAUCCUGAGGAAGAAGAAUAUACUACUGUUCAUUUCAAGCCUCGAAAUCUCCGAUGAUGAUAUUUCUAUCCUCAAACCGAUUUACGAGUCCACUAAGAAAGACAAUCAGCAUAAGAUUGUGUGGGUUCCAAUUGUCGAGCAGUGGACCGAUGACCUGAGAAAGAAGUUUGAGACCCUGAGGCUGAAGAUGCCAUGGUACACAGUGCAGAACCCUGCAACCAUUGCCGGCAUCAGGUUCAUCAAGGAGGAGUGGAACUUCAAGGGUAAGCCUACAUUGGUGGUGAUGAACCCACAAGGAAAGGUCGAACAUUCCAACGCAUUCCACAUGAUUCGGGUUUGGGGAACUCAGGCCUUCCCUUUCACAGAAACAACCGAAAAAGAACUCUCAAAUUCUCAUGGACAUAAAUGGGUUGGCAAUGUAGUCAAAGAGAUUCACCCGACUCUACCCAACAUGGUAAGUUACUUUUAACUAAUAAACCAAAGUGCAUAUAUUAUUUGGAUCUAUGAUGUGCAUUUAAUGAUAAAGCACGCUUUUUUUGUGGUUGAAUUAUUUUGAUGGAACAGAUGAAGGACGAUAAGUACGUUUUCUUCUAUGGAGGCAAAGACAAUGAGUGGAUUAACCAAUUCACAAAGAAAGCAACUGCCUUUGUAAACGACCCCAUCUUCAAGGAAGCAAAGAUUCACAUUGAGCUGUUUUGCGUGGGGAAAGGCAGCAAGGGAGAAGAUGACCACGGCAUCCUCGGGCGCUUCUGGACUGGCAUAGAAAGCUUGUUUCACACCAAGAUUCACAAGGAGCCCGACUCAGUCUCACAAGAAAUCCAGAAGCUGCUUUCUUACAAGAACGAAAGUGGAUGGGCGGUGCUCAGCAAAGGGCAUUCUUUGGUUGUCACUGGUCAUGGUGUCUCAAUCUUGAAGGUCAUAGAGGACUUUGACAAAUGGAAGGACCAUGUGAAAGAGAAGGGCUUUGAGUUUUGCUUCACAACAUACCAUGAGAAGAUUCGUGUUGCAAAUCGUCCUUGCUGCCGCCUUGACAUUCCAGGCUCUACCGGGAAGGUCCCGGAAACAAUGAAAUGUCCCGAUUGCCACCGUAGUAUGGAGACUUUUAUCAGUUACAAGUGCUGCCACAUUGAUGGUCCUAAUGCACACCAUUGAGUUCUGGGUCUCUCUCCUUUUAGUACCACCACUAUGUAAUGGGUUGUUAAUCAAAUAUGUUCCAAGUGUCUAGUACCACUACUAGGCAUUAGAUAUUAUUAUUGCUAGAAUAAAUGGGUAACUCAUGCAUUGUGAUGCGUGGUAGUUUGGUUUCCAAGCCUGUAAUGUUGAGAACUGGUGGCGUUUCUUUUGGUCAGAGUCAUGGUAGUCUACUCUAUGUGAUGUUAAUGUUUUAUUGUUCAAUGUUUGAAUAAUUUCAAUGUACUGUUUUAGAGUGUUUACACACACCCAUUGCAUAUAUUCAUGUACUUGGGUAAUUCUUGUUCAUAAUUAAAUAUGAGGAAAAGCCACUUAAAACCAAAUUUCAACAAUUUUUUUUAAAUAAACAAGAUUAAUUUCAAGCCAUUCCCUAAGCAUUCACCGAUUUUAUGAAGCUGUCAAACUGUUUCCCAAAUUAAUAUACCCACUUCUCACUACUACAAAAAAGCAAAAAGACGACGGUAAAUCACCGUCGUGUAUUUGGUUUUUCAAUGGUCGUGGAAUCCACCGUCAUCUUUUCCCUCAUAAACCACGACGCUAAAUAACCGUCGUUGUUAAACAAUACAACGUCAUCAAAAAAUACAAAACGACGUCUUUGUACUGCAAAAGAUCUAAAAAAAGCAAUCGAUGAUGAUAAUAGACGACCAAUUCUCUAAAAAGACCGUCGUUAAAAAGGGAAAAUAUGACACAUAUUAAGAGAACAAGGCCGCAAGAUAGACAUACAACGACGACAAUAAAAAUACGCCGACGUUAAAUAUAAUUUUCACGACAAUAAAAAAUAUGACGUCUUUAAAUACAUUAGAAGACGACGUUAUUGAUACCUACUACGUCGCACAUAUAAACACAACCGUCGUACAAUUAAUUUUCCACUUCGAUUUUUUGAUAAAAGAUGACGUGGAAAUAGUUGUCAGUGUCAUUAUUUACGACGUAUGUGUUUCUAUAGUAGACGUUGAAAAACUAAACAACGUCAGUUACAAAUAUAUGAGAGUCGUAUUAAAAAAUUUAUACGUCCUAUUUUCAGAAACAAACAACGACCAUAAAUAUUAGACGUUGUUAAAUACAACAACGUCGGAAAACAAUAAAAACAGACGUGUUUAGUCUGCUAAAGUUCUACAACGUCUCUUAUUUACAAAAAACCGUCGUGAAAUAAAUUUUCCACUUCGAUUUUAUCUAAAAAAGAUGACGUGGAAAUAGUUGUCAGUGUCAUUAUUUACGACGUAUACAUUUAUAUAGUCGACGUUGUAUUUAUAUGUAUUCAUUACUCACGACGCACUUAAUAAUAUAGACGACGUUGAACGUCUAAACAACGUCGGUUCCAAAUAAAUGAGAGCCGUAUUACAGAACAUAUAGACGGCGUAGAUUAUGAUGGGAGCCGUAUUACAAAUAACGUCGUUUAAUUGUUAUUAGACGGCGGUUAUAAUGAAUUUCCGUCGGAAUUAAUUUCGUUCCUCUUCGUUUAUAAAAGAACUUGCGACGUGGAAAAUGUAUGAUGACGUCGUAUUUUUUAACGUUCAGAUUACAUAUCUCGUUUUUUAGACGUCGGUAUUAUGGGAUUGGAGUCGUGUUAUUUUGAAUUACAUGGCGGUUCUUAAUCCUUCCCCGACGUGAUAUCCUGAAUAAUUGCUUCACAAUUGCGUCGUGGUUCUUCAUUGUUACGUUGCUUUAAGACGUCGGUAAAUAUGCUGAAUAACUUAUUCACAAUAACGUCGUGUUUUAUUUGAACGUAGAAAGUGAAGAAAUCACAUUACAAUAUAUUACAAAAUUAAUGUCAUACACUGCCAAUUACAUAAGCAUCAUUCAAUCCAUAUAUCUUCACACCCAUCUCGAAUAUUUUGACCGCCUAACUCACCUACCAGUUCAUCAAAUGUGUCAACAUUUGGCAUCCCUCUAGUAAAUGGCUCACACUCAAUUAUCACAUCACCUAAUACUUCAUCACCAAUAACAUCAUUAUAUUCUCUACUAGGCAUUGAUAACACUACCGACCAACCACGAUGCAUCGGGUCGUCAACAAAAAAUAUUUGUUUGACUUGAGAAGCCAAAACAAAUUGGUCAUUCCUAUGUCCAAUUUUACUCAAAUCUACAAGGGUAAAUCCAAGUUCGUCGACUACAAGACCAGAACUAUCUAUCCAAUCACACCUAAAGACUGGGAUUGUAAACUUUUGGUAGUCAAGGUCCCAAAUUUCUUGAAUGACACCAUAGAAACCCAUAUUUGAGAGAAUUGGGUUUUUAUCCUUGGCACUAGCAACUUGCAUGGUAUGUGCAAGUAAAUAAACUCCACUAUUUUGAGUUGUCCGCACAUCAUCUUGUGCCUUGAUAUUGAAUUUAAUACCUUUAAUAAGAUAGCUCCUAUAUAAUGGCACUGACAUGUUUGGACCAGCUGCUAGCCACCUUAAAUUUUCUGAUACGCCAUGAUUGUCUUCCUCAACUUCACUUUGAACCUGCAAAUUAAUCAUAUCUUAAUUCAUCCUAACAUAUAAAUAAGAAGAAAAUUAAAAGAGAAAUACGUUAUUCAACAACAUAUACCUUGAAGCGUAGCCAUUGAAUGAAAGUGCUAUUGUGCUUAUCCUGCAGCCACUUUGUUCUCUUUCUAAAUUUUGGAUAAGCAGUCUUGAUGUGGAUCAUAUGUUGCCUACAUGACACGAAAAAUUCAAGCAUUACGGUCCCAAAUAUAUAAGAUAAACAUAAGAAAUAAUUUUAAAUGGAAACUUAAAGAAUAAAACUCAUACGUACUCGAUAUAAGGUAGGACUUCCUCCGUAUUCUCCAAGACAUAUAGAUGUGCUUGAUUCAACAGGUCCUGAUCAACUACGCUCACUGUGCAACCUGAUAAUGGCUUUGAAACUCCCAUCUUUUGGCUUGAAGGCACUCCAACUGUACUAACAUCAGAUAAAUGCUGAGUACAAAACUCUACCGCUUCUUCAGCUAUAUACCGCUCAGCAAUGCAACCUUCGGGACGAGUACGAUUCUGAACAUACCCCUUCAGCACUUUCAUAUAUCUUUCAAACGGAUACAUCCACCUAAAAUAUACUGGCCCACAUAGACGAACUUCUCUGACAAGAUGUACUACUAGAUGAACCAUGAUAUCAAAGAAUGAAGGGGGAAAGUACUUCUCAAGCAAACACAGAGUAACUACUACAUCUUCUUCCAACUUAUCUAGCUUGGAAACAUCAACAGUCUUUGCACAUAUAGCAUUGAAGAAGAAACACAAACGAGUUAUUGCAUACCUUGCAGGCUUCUCCAAAACAGAACGAAUUGCCACAGGGAGCAAUUGUUGCAUUAAGGUAUGACAAUCAUGUGAUUUAAGGCCAAGAAGUCUUGAAUCUUGUACAGAUACAAGAUUUUUAAUAUUUGAAGAAUAACCUUCAGGGACCUUCAUACCAUAGAAAGAAUUGCAAACCUCUCUCUUCUCUGCUCUUGACAAAUUCCAAGGCCCAGGAGGCAAACGAGUACGUCUUUCUCCAUACUCGGGUUGCAAAUCAGUUUUGACCCCCAUGUUCAAUAAAUCUAAUCGAGCAGCAAUCCCAUCUUUAUUUUUUCCAGGGAUCUCCAGCAAUGUACCAAUGAUACUAUCGCAAACAUUCUUCUCAAUGUGCAUAACAUCUAGGGCAUGCCUCACAGGAAGGUAUUUCCAAUACUCGAGAUCAAAGAAUAUUGAUUUCUUCUUCCAACAAACUCUGUCACCAUUUUCAACCAUAUGCAGCACUUCUUCUCCGGUUAAUGGCUCUGGAGGUAUGCCAUAUUCAGGUUUCCCAUUAAAAGCUGCACGUUGCCUCCUAUAUGGAUGAUUGAUUGGUAACCAUUUUCUAUGCCCAAUGUAACAAAUUUUGUGGCCAUUUUUCAACCUGUGACUAGGUGUAUCAUCGCCGCAUAUUGGACAAGCUUUAUAUCCUUUAACAACACAACCAGAUAAGUUUCCAUAGGCGGGGAAAUCAUUAAUUGUCCACAUUAAUGCAGCUCUGAGUGUAAAGUAUUCUCCAUUAUGUGCAUCAUACACUCCUCUAAUCCCAACCCACAAGGAUUUUAAAUCAUCAAUCAAAGGCUCCAAGUAGACGUCUAUAUCAUUUCCGGGUUGUUUAGGACCGGAAAUCAAUAAGGUUAACAUCAUGAACUUUCGUUUCAUGCACAGCCAUGGAGGGAGAUUAUAUGUAACUAAGAUAACCGGCCAACAACUAUAUCUGCUACUUAGAGAACUGUGGGGAUUAAAUCCAUCAGAUGAAAGAGCCAAUCUCAAGUUUCUCGGCUCAUUACCAAACUCAGGCCAUUUAUCAUCAAGAAGUUUCCAAGACGGGGAAUCCGCCGGAUGAGACAUCUGACCGUCAAUUGAUUUUCUAGCAACAUGCCACCAAGUCAAACUCUUAGCUGUCUCAUGUGAUUGAAACAUCCUUUUAAACCUUGGAAUUGGGGGAAAAUACCACACCACCUUCGCUGGCACACCCUCUUUCAAGAUUGCAUCUUUGCCUUCCUUCCACCUUGAGAUACCACAAGUAGGACAAUUAGUUGAAUCCUCAUACUCCUUCCUAUACAAGAUGCAAUCAUUGGGGCAUGCGUGCAUUUUCUCAUAACUCAGCCCCAAUGCACACAAAGUCUUUUUAGCCUCAUACAUGGAGGUUGGUAUUGUAUUUCCUUCUGGAAGCAAAUCGCCUUGAAGUAUCAAUAAUUCUGUAAAACAGACAUCACUCAUCCCAUGUUUUGCCUUCAAAUUAUACAACUUCACUAAUGCCGAUAACUUCGUGUACUUUCUACAACCAGGGUACACUGGUUGAUCUCCAUCCCCAAUCACAUUGGCAAACUCAUACGGAUCCGAACCAAAAUCACCAAAAUCAUUAUCAUCCAUAUCAAUUUCUUCAGACACAAAACUGUACCUACUAUGGCCAUCAUCUUCUUCAACAUUUCUGCUAGCAUUAGUAGUUGCUUCCCAAGGUUCUCCGUGAAAUGUCCAAUUCUUAUAGCUUUGGUCAAUUCCAUUAAAGUAUAAGUGAUCCCUUAUAAUUCCAACCCCAAACAACUUCAAAUUAACACAUUUAACACAUAGACAACGGAUAUGUGUUGUAGUUAGAAGAUUUUCUACAGCAAAGUUCAAAAAUGCUUCCACCCCAAAUUCAUAUGCCUUCGAUCUUCUAUCCGAGUGCAUCCAUGACUUAUCCAUCUCCGACACUAUAACCUAUUAUCUAUAAUAAAGUGAAAAUACAGGCAAUGACCAUCACUAUAGCAGAUUAUACAAAGAUCUAAUAGCAAGUAAUACAUAACAGAGACGACGGGUUUUAAUCAAAAACAGACGUAUUUGGCAUAUAUAGACGACGGAUUUUCAACAGACGUCGUCUAUUAUACGUAAUACAAACGACGGUUUAUGAAAAAACCGUCGUGUAUAAGUAAUACAAUGACGGUAGUUUAAAAACACCGUCGUGUAAUCGUCGUCGUACGCCUUAAAAUUCGUCGUGUCUCAGUUUAUUUUCAAGAACACAAAACCCAUUAAGAACACAACAUAUAUAUGAAACCAAGCAAGAAACCAACAUAUACAUGAAACCAAGCAUGAAAACAAUAAAUCCAUUCCCAAUUCAACAUAACAUAGGGUGAUUAAAAGAUACGACAAAAUUAAAUCCAUUCCCAAUUCAACAUAACAGAUAAUGUAAUCCAUGAACCCAUUAAACAGAAAAUCCAUGAACCCAUACCUAUAAGCAUUGGUGCACUUUGCACCUUCUCCAGAGCGGAAAAUGACAAGAUCAAAUAAAGGUGUCCUUUUGCUGGAAAUCAUUUGGAAGUUGGUGAUGUGUCUUUUUGUGUUGAUUUCCAGCAAAAGUACACCUUUAUUUGAUCUUGUCAUGAACCCAUUAAACAGAAAAUCCAUGAACCCAUACCUAUAAGCACAUUAUUAACAGAUCGCAAAGCAUAUACCUAAAACCCUUUAACAAAACAACCUAAUAUCAUUCAAUGAAUUUACAAGGGGAAGAUAGGGUUUGUACUUACAGGUUGGACGAGCUCACAGAUUCGACGAGCCUGGAGAGUGCAACUUUUAAUUAGAGCAGAAGUGAGAGAGCGAAAUGUUAUGUCGCGUGAAAUCUGAAAUUUUAGGUUUCAGGGAUCAAAGUAUAAGACUAAGAGCCAAAUCUAAAAAAAUUUAGGUCGCGCGAAAAUUUUUAGAGCGCGCGCGUUAUAAAACGUCGAAAGAAAAACCAAGGCGAAAGUUCUACAAGUACCGACGUAAAUUUAAUAUUCCACGACGGAAACUUCAUUUUUCGGAUUAAGAACGUAAGGCCGUUCAUUUUUCGGAUUAAUUUUAAAUUUAUUUUGAAUUUUUUAUAUAACGACGACUGAAAAACCACGUCGGUGUUAAGAAAUUAAAGACGUUGUAAAUUAUAUAAACCGACUUACAUAUUAAAAUAACGUCGUUUAAAGCGUAAACCAUGUCGUAUGUUUUACUGUACGACGUAAAAUAUGUAUUCCACGACCCAACCACCGUCGUUAAAAAUUAAUACACUAAACCCAUAAAAUUAAAUUAUACAAUUUAAAAAAUUAAGUUUAUAAAAGGUUUUAUGGUUUUAAAGCCUAACAUAUAACAUAGACUACCCAAAAAUUAUACUUUAAAAAUAAACCCCAAUAAAUAACAACCCUAAUCUCUAAACCCUAGACUCUAAACCCUAAACCAUAAAACUAGAAGUGAUUUUAUGACUCAUCAAAACAAUUUUGUUUUGGAUGGUCAUUUUAAAUUUUUGUUAUUCAAAAUGAAUUUUUUCAAGGUUUAUGUGGAAGAAAAUAUAUCAAUGACUUCAUAGGAGUUGACUUUUCAAUUUUCUGAUUUAUUUUAUAUUUAUUUUGAAUAUUUUGAUAUAAAAAUAAUAAAAUAUUCUUACCAUACAACAAACCACGUCGGUGUUAAAUAAAUUGUAGACGUUGUAAAUUGUAAUAGACUACUAAGUCGUUAAAAUGACGUCGUUAAAAUGAGAAACCACGUCGGUGUUAAGAAAUUAAAAACGUUGUAAAUUAUAUAAACCGACUUACAUAUUAAAAUGACGUCGUUUAAAGCGUAAACCAUGUCGUAUGUUUUACUGUACGACGUAAAAUAUGUAUUCCACGACCCAACCACCGUCGUUAAAAAUUAAUACACUAAACCCAUAAAAUUAAAUUAUACAAUUUAAAAAAUUAAGUUUAUAAAAGGUUUUAUGGUUUUAAAGCCUAACAUAUAACAUAGACUACCCAAAAAUUAUACUUUAAAAAUAAACCCCAAUAAAUAACAACCCUAAUCUCUAAACCCUAGACUCUAAACCCUAAACCAUAAAACUAGAAGUGAUUUUAUGACUCAUCAAAACAAUUUUGUUUUGGAUGGUCAUUUUAAAUUUUUGUUAUUCAAAAUGAAUUUUUUCAAGGUUUAUGUGGAAGAAAAUAUAUCAAUGACUUCAUAGGAGUUGACUUUUCAAUUUUCUGAUUUAUUUUAUAUUUAUUUUGAAUAUUUUGAUAUAAAAAUAAUAAAAUAUUCUUACCAUACAACAAACCACGUCGGUGUUAAAUAAAUUGUAGACGUUGUAAAUUGUAAUAGACUACUAAGUCGUUAAAAUGACGUCGUUAAAAUGAGAAACCAUGGCGGCUAUUUAACUAUACGACGUAAAAUAUAUAUUUUACGACUUAACCGCAGUCGUUACAUAAACGUCGUCGAUUAUACCCUGAACCCUUAAGAAAUUGAAGAUAUUGUAAACCAUUAACGACUCAAUUGUUCAAAGAACGUCGUCUAACUAUUUUUUUUACGUCGUAUUUGUUUAAAACACGCAACAACAAAAUACGACGGUUAUUGACUUUAUUAGGUCGUUGGAAAAGUAUUACACGUCGGUUAAGCAAUUUGUAUGUUUGUUUUUUUUUUAAUUUAAGAAAACCUCAACAAAUUUUUACAUUACAUAUUAUAGAGAAAAUUUGUACAUUAUACAUAAAUAUCAAGUGUUCAAUAAUUGCCCUGUUUAAUAAUUUGGAAAACAAACUCUGCCCAUUCAUUCCGGACUUCAUCAAUGGCUUCUUGGGGGUAUGAAGCUUCCUGGUUUCCCUUGGCAUACUGCAUAAACAAUGACUAUUAGGGUUUAUAAAUAAAAAGAAAUUCAAUCACAGACGACGAUAUUUUUCAUAACCGACGUAGUAUAUCCAUUCAACGACGUUAAUUUUACAUGACCGUCGUUGAUAAUACAAAAAACGACGUGAAAUGUAUGAAGGUAAUUUCUUCUUACCUUAUUCUCAAACCCCAAGGAAGGAUCCAUGAUGAUGUCCCUCAUGAAGCGCAUUACAUAAUACCCGCAUUCGACAUUGCUGGGUUGCUUUGGUGUGCCUGAGAGAGUUUUCCAAAUUACAUUUUUACGUCCUGCUCGGGCUAUGUGGGUAUUAUAUAUUUUUAAAGCACUGUUCACGAUGUUUUUGGCCUCUUCAUCGACCACACGAUUUCCUGGCAGAGGAUCCAGAAAAUAGACGGUUUCUCUCUUUGCUCUUACAAUCAGCAAAAUCCAAUGACGGCUGCACAAAAUUAAUAUAAAAACGACGGUUAUUUACAAAAACGACGUAUUAUAGUAUUUCACACGACGAAAUAAAGUAGAUAACGACGACAUUAUAUAUUUAUCACGACGAUAAAUAAAUACCGACGUGGUUAGUAGUUUCAAACGACUAAAUAAAAUAAAACACCGACGUGGUUAGUUUAUAAGCUGUCAUUUAUUGAAAAUCAUAAAAACAAAAUCCUAAGGAGACUAACCCUGGAUUGUAAGGCAUCAUGAAAAUCUGUUCACCGUCUGUCUUCUGAAGUCGAGCUGCUACGAGUCGUGAUCUUUCAGUUAUUGUGCCAGAGUUGGCACUAACUGUAGCAGGGUCGAUAAAGCCAACCAUACUGCACAUAUUGGCUUUUUUCAAAACAUCGUGUAAGUACCUAAACAAAUAAAAUAAUAUAAACAAGUCAGCACACAAAACACGACGGUUAUGUAUAAAAAAACGACGUAUUAUAAUAUUUCACACGACGUACUGAAAUAGAUGAGGACGUUAUAAUAUAUUUAUCACGACGGUUGUUAGUUAAGACGACGUGGUUAGUUAGUUAAGACGACGCAAUAUAUAAACCAACGAGUUAUUAUUUUAGAAGUACAAACCUCAUAUAUACAGCCAAUACAGUAGCUCCAAUUUCUUCCAUGCCUGCAAAUUGUGUAAUAUCUUCAGGCAGGAGGAAGGUAUCGCGCUCACCACCAAACACCUCCUUAUCAAUUGUAAAUUGGACUGUCUUAUCCUCAGGCAGGAGUGUCGUUUCCACAAAACGACAAAGGGUUUUUAAAGAAGAUGGCGCCUCCAUUUUUGAAUAAGCACCAACUUCAAUAACCUGUUUAAAGAAAUAAAAAAAAUGACGUGGUAAUUCAAUAAAGACGACGGUUUAAGUAAUAAAACGUCGUCUUAAAAGUAUUUAAACGACGGUGAAAAAACUGUCGUGGUAAUUCAAUAAAGACGACGGUUUUAUGAAUAAAGCGUCGUCUGAAACCAUUUAAACGACGGUGCAAAAACCGUCGUUUAAAUAUUUUAUUACGUCUUAAAAAAAUUCCGCCGUCUAAGUUUUAAACAAACGACGGAUUAAAUAAAAAUAUCGACGUCUGAAAUUUUGAAAAACAAAUAAAAAAGGCAAAGUUAUGUGAACAUACCUUGUCGUCAUGCUUUUCUUCAUCUUCUUUCUCCUUUUCUUCUUCCUUCUCUUCAUCUCUUUUUUCUUCUUCCUUCUCUUCAUCUGGCUGAUGUUUCCCCAUUUUGGCAGUAUCAUCCUCCAAAUGUAGGGAUCUCACAUCACCUCCAGAGCAGCUAGCUUUGUCAGACAUUGGAUUUUUGGGGCUUUGGCUAAUUCUUGGUUUAAGCAUGCUUGGAUCAAAAUUGGGAAUUAAUUGGGAAAGCUGACUCAGGAAAUGCUCCCUCUCAGCCUCUACCAAUUGUUUUGUCCUAGCCUCCAUCCUUAAGGCCUCUUCCCUUGCCUUAGCCUCCAUCUUUUUAGUCUCUUCUUGAAGGAGAACUCUUAAACUGUCCUUCAAACGGUCGUCAAAGCUCACCCUCUGUGGUUUGGGCAAAUUGAAAUAUUGCCUUGGGGAAACACCAGCACCAACUCCCCUCACCCUGCCUGGAUGCUCGGGGCCCAAAGCCAUGGUCAGCACAUCAUUGCUGCCAUCUACUCUGACUUUGCCUUCCGAGACUUGUUUCUGCAAUUCAUCCUAAAACAAAGAUAAACAAAAAAACACACGACGGUUAUUUAUGUACAAACGACGUAUUAUAUAAUUUCACACGACGCAAUAACGUAUAAACCGACGUUAUUAUAACUUAUCACGACGGUAGUUAUACCGACGUGGUUAUUUAUUUAAAACGACGAAAUGAAUAAACAACCGACGUCUUAUGCUAUAAUUAAAGAUAACAGAGUAGUGAUUCCUAUUUAGACCGUUAACGACGUUUUUAAAAAAUUUUCGACGUGGUAAUAUCAUUCACACGACGCGAAAAUGAACCACCGACGUCUUAUGCUGUAAUUACAGAAAACAUAGUAGUGAUUCCUAUUUAGACCUUUAACGACGUUUUUAAAAACUUUUCGACGUGGUAAUAUCAUUCACACGACGAAAAAUAUAACAUACGACGUAAUAAGAAUAAUUCACAGUUUAAUAAAAAUUUAAAACAGAGUGAUAGUAGGCUUACAAUUAAUUUUGCUUUCUCUGCCACCUUUGGAUCAGGGAUGUUACCAUGUUUGUCCUGUCUAGCUCUCUUCCAUAAGGUAGAUCGAUCAAUUUCUACCCCAGGCAUGGUUUCCUCCAAUUGAUCCUCCAAUCCAGCAUAUCCUUUUCGAGACAAUCGAUGAUUGUACUCGAGUUUCUCCCUAAUCUGUGCAUGUUGAGAAUGCACAGACUCAAAAUCUUUGGAUAGCCUUGAAGCUACAAAGGCAUCCCAUUGUGCUUUCUCUAUGAAUUUAUAUGUUUCAGGGGGUUGGCUUAAUUUCUCCCUGUCAUUGGUGUAUGGAAGGAUAUAAUGCCUCGUUAGUGUAGACUUGAAAUCCUUCCAUUUCUUGGAAGCAGAAGCUAAAACAGAGGUCUUGCCCCCUUGGCCUACGACAAAAGCCAUGUCAACUGCUUCCCAAAUCUGCUCCUUUAUAUCCUUGGGGAUUUGGGACCAUUUCUUGUCCACAAGUGGGAUCCUGGAGCGUGCCAACACACCAAUAUACGACUGCAUCUCAAUAUGUGCUUGGCCAACACCUUUCCCCCUUUUAUUGUACUCAACAAUUGGCCUCAGUUUCUGAAGCUUUCUCUUCACAACACGAGGCAUUGUGCUCAUACCUCGACCAGUCUUUGAAUCAUCUGAGAUUGUUGUCUGGCUGGUUUGUUCUAUCUCAGCAGAUGAUGAAGCAAACUUCAUCUUCUUCGAAGACUUCAUCUCCUUCGAAGACUUAUCUUGAGGAGCUAUCAUUCCAAGCUUCUUGGAGCCAGAAUCCUUAGUUUGUUGUUGAGAAACCAUUUUAACAGACAAAACUGCAAGUGAAAAUAUUUCAGGAAAACAUUAAGAACACAAACGACGGUAUUAAAAAAAUACGACGUAUGAUAUGAUUUUAGACGACGCAAUGAAAUAAUCUCAGACGUAAUAAAUGUUUAAAACCAUUAUUUAUAUAACGUCGUGGUAAAUAUGUUCACACGACGUCAAUAGUAAUACACCGUCGUGGUAAAACUAUUAUUUAUAUAACGUCGUGGUAUUUAUGUUCAUACGACGUCAAUAGUAAUACACCGUCGUGGUAUUAACAUUCACACGACGUAAAACAAUAAGAUAUUUUUCGUCUAUAUUAGAUACCAACCCUAGUUUCUUUUUCUUUAUAUUUUAUCAAAUAAGGGAAAAACAAAAACCAUUGUUCAGAGAAAUCAAACCUGCAAUUAAACAAGCAUAUAAAAAAAGACUAUUAUUUUAAAAACAACUUUGUCAAUUUUCAGACGACGCUAGAACAACUGACGAACCGUCGUGGUCUACCGUCGUCUUAUUUAGUUGAGGUAGUUGUCUUCAAAGUUGGAAACUUUCCCUCUUUGUCUGUAUAUUUUAUCAAACUUGGAAAGAAGUAAAAUGAUUUUGGCCAGAAAAAAGGUAAAAAGAUUUUUCAAACAAAAAACGUAUGAGCAUGCAAAACAGUAACCAAAAUAGUGAAAAUGAAAGCUUACCUUUUGCGUGCAAUGAAAGCAAGAGGAAGAUGAUCGAUGUUUAAGUUCAGAGACGACGAAGAAGACGAGAGGAAGACGAUGAGAAACUCUGACAAUGCUCUGACAAGGAAAAAAGACGAAAAGGUUUCUCUGGGAGAUUGAAAUUUUUAAUCGGGUUUGGAAACAGUGCAUGUGUAAGUCGAAAAGUUGCUUACAUAUAAAACCAUUUCAAAAAAAUAAUACGGCGGUUACAUUUAACUACGUCGUUUUUAACUAAAACGACGCAAUAUUUUUCAUUCGACGUGGAAUCAUUUCAUUUAACGUCGUUAGGUUUAAUAUAACCGACGUGGAUUUUAAUUUUUAAAUUAUGAAUAGAAUUUUUUUUCCCGUGACCUUUCAGUUUAUUUUUCAAUUACAGUGCGUUAUAAAUAGAGUUUUUUUUCCGGAGGAAAUUUAAAACGAAGGAAAUUAAUAUUCUGCAAUAUGUAAAGUUUCUUUUUUGGAUGACAGAUUUAAAUAAAAUAAGAAUAUAAAAACAACAAAUGUGUAAGUCAAGUAGACGAAAAGUUGCUUACAUAUAAAACCAUUUCAAAAAAAUAAUAUGGCGGUUACAUAUAACUACGACGUAUAAAUUACAAAAUACGACGGUACAUUUAACUUCGGACGUGGUAAAUAAAUACGACAGUAGUUUGUAGGUACCGUCGUAGUAAACUCAAAAAUUAAAGUACAUAAGUAAUAACUCGCGUCAUGGUAUAUUAUUUAACACGUCGUUUUUAUUAAUUUACCGACGUGGAUUUCUGUAAUAUACGUCGAUCAUACCGACGUUGAUUUUACAAUUUAAACGGCGGUUUGUUUGUAAGGACCGCCGUUGGUUUUAAAAAUUUAUUCUAUAAAUUUGUCGCUUUCAUUCAUUUUCGGUUUACAUUUAAGGUUCCAAGUUCUUCCUCUCUCAGUCUCUCAUGUCUCAAAGAUAAUAAUUUGGAUGUUUUCUCAAAGAGAAAUUGAGCUUACUCGCAUCAAAUAUAUGUCCACAAGAAGAAGCUUGUCAACUAGCCUUCUCACUUCCUUGAUCAAGCCUGAUAGGACACUUAGUGCUUCUGAAUACUCCUUGCUUUCCAUCAAAAGAGAUGCAAGCCUGGCCUCCACUCGCUGUCGAAGGAAAGUUCGCUUCUCAGGGAAAUCUGAAGAUCAGAUGUGCCUGAUCCUCUGCUUGAUUUUCUUGCCUAAGAAGAUCCGUCGGAUUUAUUGUGAUAGCCUCUUCCUUUAUCCGUAGAGCUUCAGAAGAAGAAGAUGGGUUUCAAGAAUGCGAUAAAGAAUAGAAAUGGCUUCAGAUGGCCUCUAAAGCAUGAGCAAUUGAAUCAGUAGUUUCUGGGAGAUAUGAUGAAGACAUUGUCAAUGCUUUGAACUACACAAGUCCUGCAGAAAGAUAUGUUAAAGAAACUGAAACAACGGCGGUUUUCUGUUCUACCGUCGUCUUUUCUCGUCGUCUAUAUUAAGUUACGAUGGCGGUAGAUUUAUAAUUACCGACGUAGAUUAUUUUGUUAAACGUCGUUAAGUGUACUACAACCGACGUGGAUUUUAAUUUUAAAUUAUAAAUGGAGUUUUUUUUCCCGUAUUCUUUCAGUUUUAGUUUUCAAUUCCAAAGCGUGAUAAAUAGAUUUUUCUUUCCCGAGGAAAUUUAAAAUGAGGGAAAUUAAUGUUCUAGAAUUUGUAAACUAACACGACGCAAUAUUUGCAAAUCUGUGUCAUCUGUUAAGAUUAUGAUGUGGAACAGAGUUCCAUCUGGUAAGAUUUCGUAACCCUUGGGAUCUCAGACAAAACUGAUUAUGUCGGCGGUGUUCUAUAUAAACCGUCGUGGUUAUUUCAAUUCUUGUCAUUAAGUAGAUCUACCGACGUAGGAUAAGAAAAUCAAAGAAAAAAAUUGUUAACAAAAAUUCUUAUUAAGACGACCGUUAAAAUUAAAGGUACGACGUAUAAAAUGAAUAAAUACGACGAUAAAUUUUAUUGUACGAUUUAAAGAUAACGUAGUAGAACUAUACGAGAAUGACGUCGAUAUAUUUAUAUUUUCCGUCGUUGUAAAUUAAUUUAAUACGGCGAUAUUUUGUAUUUUAAAGCCGUGGAUUUGUUUGUAAUUAUACGGCGUCUUAUACGAAAACCUCGUCGUGUUAUUUUAUGAGUAAAAACGGCAGUUUUUAUUGAAAUCGUCGUCUUUACUUUCUACGUCGGUCGAUUCAUAACUUCUGCCGUUCUUUGUUGGCAUUGAUUUUACACUGAGGAAAUCUGUUUCAAAUAGACGUCGGUUGUUUAAUUAUGUACGUCGUUGUUUUUGAACAGCCAUUUGAAACUCCAUUUUUUAGUUGUCUAAGGUUGUAUUACACGACGGUGUUUUUAGAACCGUCGUCUUUUUAUAAACCACGACGGUUUUCACUUAGACCGUCGUUGUUUUCUGGUCGUCUUUUUCACUUUUUGUAGUAGUGUCUCAUUGUAUUUUAAUGAUUCCAAUGUAUAUUUUUUAGGUAGUCCCUCGAAACGAGAUGCUUUAAUGAUUUCUAAUUUGUUCCACUUUUUUGAAAUAAUGAUAUUUGAAUAAAGACUUAAAAUAUAGAUGGUUUGAAUCGUUGAGGUAGAAACUUAAAUAGUUUGUUAGAGAUAAAGAUUCCCCUAACUACUGUUUUGUAAGAGAGUUAAGCGCUCUCAUAUGAAAAAAACUGAAUCUGUUGUAAUAUUAACUCAACAAAGCUAAGAAAACAUGAGAAGCAAAUUUUCAUCCUUUUAGUUUUUAUAGCAAAUUUGUUGAGAGUAUUUAUUCCGCGUUGAAAAUGGAAAACUUGGCAUAACAUUUUAAUGUUGUGUUAGUAUGAAAUUGUGUUGGCAUUUCCUAGAACUUAAUUAGUAUUGGAUUGGAAGUGUCAAUUAGUUGUAAGGUUGAAGCAAAAUUACUGUUUCCGGUUUCCAGAAACUAUAGGAUGAAAACAGCAAUUUUGCUUUAACCUAUGAGUCAUUUGAUCUGAAGGGUAAGACAUCAUUUUUCAUGUAUUCAUGCUAUGAAGGUUUUUUUUAAUGUCUGAUAUGAUUUUAAUUCAUGAUCUUCCUUGAUUUUAGAUCAGUUAGAAUUCAUUUAGGAGUUUUUCUUUUUGGGAAAGUUUUGACCCAAAUCAAUUUGAUUUUCCUACUUUCCUGUUUUAACAUUCCCUUGAUUUUCUAACUUGUUUUGGUUGCUUAGAAAUCUACUUAUCAAUUAUAUCAUAAUAUCAAGGAGUCAAGAUGCUAUUAAUAGUUGACCUAAAUAUAGAAGGAUUCCUUUGAUAUUGUGAUUGGUCAAAAUCUUCUUUCUUGAGCAUCUUUCCUGAGUGCUUGGUUUACACAUGAUUUUCAUUUAGAAUAGGAAAUAUUCUAUUGUGAUUUUUGCCAAGCCUUGAAGAGUGGAGAUUUGGUUUAAAAUAUAAGUUCCUUCCUGUGAAGAAAACUUCUAUAAAAACAAGGUUUUAGGUUUUCUUUUAGAUAGCUUUCGAACAAUAAUUUUGUGUGCUUAAACGUUUAAGAAAACUGCGUUUUUAUUUAAGAUAAAUCAUCAAGUGGUUCAUGUUUACUUGGUGAUUUAUCAAACACUUUUAUCAUUCACAUUGCAUUCAUUUGCAUGUACGGUGACUCAUAUGGUUAAGGGCACCAAGACCGUUGUGAUGGUUUUUCUCUGGUGAGCUUAAAUCAAUCGUCACCAUUAUCAGAUUCAACAUAAAGAGAGUUGGAAGAACUCCGGCGAGCUUGAAGUAAUCGUAACAAGUAUUGCGUUUAACAUAAGGAGUGUCGAAUAUCAUCCAGUAGCAAAAGUUGAGUUACAAAGAAGUCAGUAAACAUUAUCUAGAAUGUGUCUAGGUUAAGUGUGUGAGUACUUCUUGUAAUCAUUGUUCUAUAGUGGAUUUGCCUUGGACUAUCAGGUUCCGUGAAUUCUCCCCAGAGAUGGAAUUUUACCACAUAAAAUAUUUUCUGUGUACUUUCUGUUUUUACGUUAUAAACUAUAGAUGAUUGAUACAUCGUAUCAAUCCCUUUGGAGUGUUUUAUUUGUAUUACCGUAUUACUCUUGACUACUCAAAACACAGACUUUACUCUUUUAGUAUUUUAAGUCAUCAUACAGGUAUUUUCAAUUGGCAUUAGAGCUAGUCGCUAGACACACUUAGCGAGAUUCGAAAUAUUGUAGGAUGGAUCGUGCUAUGUUAAGACAAUUCAAGAGUUUUCCUAAGAAUCGAAACUCUAAAGAUCAAGACUCGCAAAACAACUCAGGUAUAAAUUUUGGGAAAAUUAGAAAUAUUUAUAAUACUGACGUUGUUUCUAAAUCUUGCAGGUCAAAUGACAAGAAACAUUCAAAAGGAAAAGUCAAAUGCUUCGAAUGUGGAGGUUAUGGUCACAUAUCUUCUGAAUGUGCUAACACUUUGAAGAAGCAAAAGGAUGGGAAGAACAAAGCAUCGAAUACAACUUGGAAUGAUAGUGAAUCGGAAUACGAGAAUGAUGAAAAGACGGUUGCACUCAUAACCACAGUUAGCUUGAAUGAAUCACAUGAGGAUGAUGAUAGUGAAGAUUGAAAAUUGAAUUUAUCAUGAAGAAAUACGAUGACUUGCUCGUUGUCUCACUAAAACUCAAUAAACAAAAUGUCAAACUCGUCAAAUUUGUUGCUGAGUUUAAGUUGGAAAAUAGCAGGAUUGCAAACGAGUUUCAAUUCCUUGAAGCAUAUUUUGAAAAGGUAAGUGCAAAUUUUCAUCCUUUUAUGUUUUUAUAGUGAUUUUGUUGAGAAUACUUAUCCAGUGUUGAAAAUUGAAAACUUAGCAUAACAGUUUAAUGUUGUUUUUUGUUUUGCAUAAACUCCCAUCAAUUUGCCCCCAAAAAAAAAAAAAAAACUCCCGACAAAUGUGUGGUAUUCAAGCUACCUCUCAUUUCCAAACUUCCAUCAUCUAUUAUUAUCGAAACCUUAUCCUAUAUCCUCAUCCUAAGCUUUUAGUUGAGUUGGUGUGAAUGAUCAUGAUGAAUUUUCGUUUCAGUUUUACGUACAGCACGCCAUUAAAGUGAUUGAUUGAUUUUAUUUUUUUGUCAUAAAAAAAACUUUAAUCAUGUUGAGGUGAGGUCCUUCCAGUUUUGGUAGAGGCCAGAGCCAUGUGGCACAAGCACAAGAGAGGUGAUAGAUUUGGGGAAUAUACGAACAAAGAAGUCCUGUUCUAUCAGUCCUCAUUCACAAUAUUGAGGACACGUUUUCGAUUGUUUUUCUUUUUAAUUUUUCAAUAGCGGGAAAAGCAUGAAGGUGAAGAAAUGGAGACAUAAAUUUGAAAUUGAUAGUCGUGCUCGUGGUCCAGACAGUCGUACGAUGGAAUUCAGAAAUAGCAAUCUGCAAAAACACAUUGUGAACAAUGUUGCAAGGAAAGUCUUCCCACUCGGGUCAUUGGCCCCAUGUCUCACAAUGGAAUUAAAAUAUAUAAACCAUUCUUAUAUUUUAUUUUUUUAAACUGACAGGCCAUCAUUCUUAAAUAUAUAUUUGUUUGUUGAAAUGGAAAUAAGAAUGGGAAUAAAGAUGGAACGGAAUCAAGUCAUAAUUUAAUGGAACUAAUUUCAUUGUUUGGUUUGCAAAUUGGACGAUGUGGAUUGGAUAUAUAUAUAUAUAUAUAUAUAUAUAUAUUUAUAUAGUGAGUUUCCAUUGAAAAAUCUUUCAAAUAAGUUCUUGAAAUAUCGUAUUUAUUGAUUUUGUAGAACACAAUUAGAUAUCUAAACGGUUUCCGAUUUGUCUAAUUUUUGCAAGAAUGAUCUUUGAAUAAAAGGUUGACACAAUUAGAUGUCCAAUUUUCAGAGACAUAAGGUUUCCUCUAUUUUAUCUUUGUUUUGUAAUGAUUUUCCUCUACCCAUCACAGGCAGAUGCGUCUAGGCAUCAUAUCUCCAUAUUCGUUUUGGUGUCGGAUCUUUACCAUCAUCACUUUAUCAGUUUCUUUAUGUUUGGAAUAAGUCUCAGAGACUUUUUAGGUUUUGUGUUGUUUUCACCUCACUUUCUGUAAGAGUUUUUCAUUUAUCUUUUGUGAGAGUUUUCCACCUUUCAUUUGUGAGUUUAAUUUGUAUUGUUAUGGUUUGAUUUUUUCAAACUUUAUCUAUUUUUUAUUAUUCUGAGUUUGCUGCCUUAAUUGGGAUACCUAUUUCAGAGCUUCUUCAAUCAUGCGUGAUCGUUAGUAAAUGAGCCUUAAAUUGUCUUAAUUUUGAUGUUAGAUCCUUCAAUUAUUGUAAUAAUCCUUUGUAGUUAGUUUAUAUUGGUCUUUUGUGGUUAGUGACUUUUGACUGAAUUAUAAAUACAAUCCUAGAAUUAUAAAAAAAAAAAAAAAGUUUUCUAAACGUGUAGCACGUGAGCCCGAAUCCCAUCUAUCAACAAUUAAAGUGAAGAUGGCUUUAUUUGUCUUCUGGUCUCGUUCAGUAGGGCCAUCUGUUGGCGUGACUUGUGGAUAUUGACUUACUUUCCUUACACACCAAGAAUUCCUAUUAUAAUUGUAAUUGAUUUACUUUAAUUUCUGAUUUCCUACUGCAAAUAGAUUUAGGAAUUUAUUAUUUACUUGCCUAUUUAGGUUUCGUUGUAUUAUAAAUAUGACCUCCUACAAGGAGAAGAAUACACAGAAAAUUCCCACAAACAAAUAUUCUCUCAAUAGUUUUUCAUAUUUUAGCAUGGUAUCAGAGCCAGGUUCGAUCUAGGGACUUGUGCUUGUGUUCUUCUUGAAAUUUAAGUGCUCUUCUCCCCCCUUAAGAGGGGGGAGGGGGAGUGAAAGGGAUAUGUUUAUUGACCUAUCCCAAUUACCUUGACAUAUUUCCAUGAAGAUGUUGCUUAUUUCUUGACUCCGACGACCCCUUCUCUUCAAGGGGAGAGGAGGAUUGAAGAGAAGUUGUGUAUGAGUGAAUUAGCUAAAGUUUAUAUGGAAGAAUUUAUUGUUGCCAUUGUCUCUACUGCCGUGCUCAUGGGGUUUUGGUGUUCUGCCUUACCUAUUGCCGUGCUCACAGGGUUUCUGUGUUCUGCCUUACCAAUUGCUGUGCUCACACAGUUUCUGUGUUCUGCCUUACCUACUGCCGUGCUCACAGGGUUUCUGUGUUCUGCCUUAUCUACAGCCGUGCUCACAGGAUUUCUGUGUUUUGCUAUGUGCCCUAUUUUUUAGGGUUUGCUCUUGUGUUUCCGCUGUAAACUUUGUUUUAGUUUGUCACUUGUUUCACUCGUGGUUGACUAAAAGAUCUUCUCUACAAUUGUUACUUCUCAAGUAUGGUGUUCUGUGACUCGCUUGUCAAGUUGAGCGUGCGAAAUAUCUUUGCCCAACUUGAGGGGAAGUGUUGGCGAGUCCUCACUUAGUUAGAAUUUUGGUUACUUACCAAUUAUAUUUUGUCCUAUUGUAAUAGAGAUUAUUUUAUUUAGUGUUAUGGGGGUUGAUGAUUUUUUCAACCCUCAUGGAGGUAGCACCACCGACUCAUUCUCUCAUUCUCCACCAACCAUCGUUGAGUUGAGUGCCCAGAUGGCUCCGCUCCUACAGAUGCAGACUUUGACCCCGAACCCGAUCCAGAAUCAGGAUCCUCUUUUGACGACCCCGACCCCGACCCCGACCUCGACUAUGAUGACGACCACCCAGACCCCGACCCCGACUAUGACGACGACGACCCCGACCCCGACCCCGACCCCAACCCCGACUCCGAAGACGACCCCGACCCCCACUCCGAUGAUGACCCCAACCCCGAAUUUGUCUCUGAUUCAGACCUGAUCCCGAUUUCGACUCCGACUCCGGCCUUGACUCAGGCUCAGAUUCCGAUCCUAAUUCCUACUCAACCUGUAUCCUAUGCAUCUUCCGCUGCACAUAUUAUGACUUCUCGACUAACGACCCCGACAUAUGGACCAGAUUGCGCAUUUUGUGAAAUCCGAGGAUCAAUUGGCGGAUAUUUUGACAAAGGCGAUUUCCAGUAAAGCAUUCCACAAUUCACUAGAUCAGUUGGGCAUUGGCGACAUCUAUGCACCAACUGAGGGGGAGUGUUGGCGUGACUUGUGGAUAUUGACUUACUUUCCUUACACACCAAGAAUUCCUAUUAUAAUUGUAAUUGAUUUACUUUAAUUCCUGAUUUCCUACUGCAAAUAGAUUUAGGAAUUUAUUAUUUACUUGCCUAUUCAGGUUUCGUUGUAUUAUAAAUAUGACCUCCUACAAGGAGAAGAAUACACAGAAAAUUCCCACAAACAAAUAUUCUCUCAUAGUUUUAAUAUUUUAGCACCAUCUACUGUCUUCACAAGGGUGCAAGAGUCAAUAAAAUGAAGAUGCCAAUUUUUUCUACACUUUUUCCUCUUUUUAUGGAAAAAGAAAAUCCAACUUCUUUUAGCGUAUUAAUCUUCCAAAAGAGAAGACAAAUGGAUUGCUUGAAGAACUCAUUACCUUCUAGCUCUUUCAUUUUUUUUCCUUUGCCGGGCCACGCUACUCUGCUGGCACAGGUAGGGGAAGAUGUCUCCAGCUCUCCUUUCCAAUGUCUCCAUCCAUGCAUGAUGAUGAGUUAUGUAUUGAGUAUCUUCCAACUUUACUUGAUUGCAUUCAAAUGGGAGAGAGAAAAGAUGGUGCCUAAUUUACCAUUAUGUAUCGCAUGCCUUUUUUUUUUUUGGUGGCGUUGAUGUACUUCUGUUGAGAGAGAAAAGAUGGUGCCUAAAUUAUUUUUCCAGGCAUGUACAAUAAUUUAUAAUAAUUUACCUAUCUUUUUAAGUAAACUAUUUUUUAGGUAUCUAUAUUUUCCAGGUAAAUUAAUUUUUAGUUUAUUUAUUUUUUGGUCAAUUAUUUUCACCGGCAUGCACAAUAAUUUACCUAUCUUUGUAGGUAAACUAUUUUUGUUGUAGCAUCUUUUACCUAUAUUUUCCAAGCAAAUUAAUUUCCAGCUUAUUUAUUGUUUGGUAAAUUAUUUUUUCUAGGCAUGUACAAUAAUUUACCUAUCUUGUUGUACAAUAAUUUAGCAUCUCUGUACUUUUGUUGUAGCAUCUCUUACCUAUAUUUUCCAAGAAAAUUAAUUUUCAGGUUAUUUAUUUUUCCAGGUGUGUACAAUAAUUUACAAUAAUUUACAAUAAUUUACCUAUCUUUUAAAGUAACUAUUUUUUAGGUACCUAUAUUUUCCAGAUAAAUUAAUUUUCAGUUUAUUUAGUUUUUGGUAAAUUAUUUUCACAGACAUGUACAAUAAUUUACCUAUCUUUGUGGGUAAAGUAUUUUUUAAGUACCUAUAUUUUACAGGUAAAUUAAUUUUCGGGUUAUUUAUUUUUUAGGUGAACUAAUUUUCAGGUUAUUUAUCUUUUUGGUAAAUUAUUUUCCAAGCAUGUGCAAUAAUUUACCUAUCUUUUUAGGUAAAUUAUUUUUCAGAUAAUGUACCUACAAAAUUUAAUAUCUAUUUCAUGCAUAUUCUACCUUGUUCUAACAUUAACUCCUUUUUUUUUUCAAGUAAAUAAUUUACCUCAAUUUAACGGAUCUGGAUCCUUCACUUGAAUUUUCUCUGUCAUGAUUUACUUGACUUUUGCUCUCAACAUAGUACCUUAUUUAAAUUUCAUCCAAGGGGCUUGACAGUUCACAUAUUUUCAUUUUUGGACCACACUACAAAUAUUUUUUUGGUCAAUGGUCCAGGGUGCAAUUAGUCUUUCCCGUUACAGGCAUGUGCAGCACGAGGGAGCAAAAUCGAACAACCACAUCAUUUUAUAGUUACCCUUUUCUAAUCUAUGUCUCCUUUUUCAACGCAUAGUCUCUCUCUCGAUUUCUCUCUGUUUUCCCCUUUCCUUUAUUUUAUUUUCCAUUUUUAAAUUAACGCUUCUUCAAUCCUUUCUUAUCUUCAAGAGCUUUGUCCUUUAUUUAUUACCAAAAAACAAAGAGCUUUGUCAUGUACGAUUUAGGCUGUGCUUUCUGGAAUCUAUACUGCUUUUUGGCAAUGCCUAUUACGAUUUAGCAGCUUUGGCAGAAGAUGACAGCCAAAACAUCAAAUGCGUGACUCACUAAAGACUGUCAAAAUCUACAGUCUAUUUUUUGGACACAAACUGAUUUCAUUAGGAGCCCCAAAAUAGGUGUAGAAAGACACAGUACAGUCAGUCAUAAAGAGAGACAAUAAGACCAUAAUGACCGAGACAGAACCACUAGACCUCCACCGCCUUAGCACCAAAUACCAAUCGGAGUUGCUGCAUGAGCAGCUCGAUUCUUCUCACGAGGGAUCCAACUCCACUCAAGAUUGUUGAAAAAAAGCACUUGCUCUUCUAAUCUCCAGGAUCAAAGGGAAAAUUGUCCAGAUUCUAUUCACAUCACCACCCUUGACCCCAUCAUACAGUAUACUUUAUGUGUACGUAAUUUGCGCCAUAAUAUUUUAAACUAUCUUUAAGUUCUGAUCCUAUGAACUUGUGUUUGAAAAACAAAUCUCCCUAUGAUUUGGAAAGUAAAACCCAAUAUUUUAUUCAUGGUGAUUAAAGAUCCGUAAUGGUAUCUAAUUUGUUCCAACUGUUGUUAUUUUCACAAUCUAACAGUUUCGCAAACGUCAGAGACGUUUUAUGAUAAAAAAAAACCUUCAAAAAAUUUAAGAUAAAUUUACCUAUUUGUAAAAUAACUUAAUCAUCUCUAUAUCUCAACUACUAAUGGUUAACAAAGAGAAUUUUCUUGAAUUAAUAAUUAAAUGGUAUUUUAAGAAUAAUGAUGUGCGGACAAAAUAAAUUAUGUUAUUUUAAAUUUACAUGAUGAGUGAUAAGAUAAAAUGUAUGAAGAAAAUAAAAAGAGAUGAAAAUAGCAGGACUCCUUGUUCAAAUUAAUCAAAGUAAAAGUAGAAAAAGACGUGUAACCUAAAGAGUUGAACAUGGACGACAAAUGAAUUAAUGAGAACAAAACAUACACAUCCCCCAAGUAGAAAAAUAACAUGGAAAAGAAAGCACCACAAGUGGAACAACUUUAUAGAAAACCAAAAAUAUCUAAAGCACAGUAACUAAUUAUAAUGAUCCAAAUAUUUUUUUUUUUUUUCCGAAAGAUGAUCCAAAUAAAUGGACAAGUAAAGAAAGUACAAUUUUCAUUAAACUAAGAAAUUUUUUUAAAAAAAGAAAAAAAGAAAAAAAAAAGAAGUUAAAAAGUCAUUGUAGGUGCUGCAUAUUGCACUUUUGUUCAGUCUAGAAAAUGCACUUUAGAUGUUCGACGAAAAGCCUAAAUAAAAUCUGUGUUGCGUUGCGCUGCUAUGUGUAGUGAGCCUAUUUUUUUUAUAAAAAAAAAUCCCAGCCAAAAGAAUGUUGUUUUAGACCAGAAUUUAAAUAAAUUAAAAAAUAAAAUAAAAUAAAAAAAGGAAACCUGGGCUGCUAUUUCGUGGGCUUUAACCUAUUUAUAUUUAGGGCCUACAUAUAAAAGAACAUAAAGACUUUUGACUCUAGGGCUUUUAACAACAAAACUUUCUUCUUAUUCUACAACAAUUGUAGGUUAUUUGUAAUGCUAUUUUUUUUUUCUAUGACUUAUGAAUGAUAUUGGUAUUGUUUAAAUUAUAAAGAUAUUUGAUUGUUAAUUUUUAUAUAUAGAGCUUUUAGUCUUUCAAAAUUACAUAUCCACUAAAAAAUUUAUAGAUCCCCCAAGUAAGUGAGUCAACCGUGGUGGUGAGUGGCCAUGGAUCCACAAUGUUGAAAGUACUCGACGACUUCAACGCAUAGAAGAACUUGAGGGAAAGGAAUUCAAGUGCACAUUCCAAGUGCUGCUGGAGUGGAGAGGUCCAUGAGACCCUGAAAAUGCCCCGUCUGUCCACGCACCAUGGAGAAAUACGAAUGUGAUGCCCACCAAAGUGUGUAUCUUUACGUUCAUAUAAAUAAAAAAUAAUGAAUGUAUAAUAAAUAAAUAAAAGGGAUGCACUAAACUUUUUCGUCAUCGACUAUAUAUGUUUUCCUAGAUUUUAUUUUAAGCCCCUUGAGUUUCAAUACUAAUGUUAAGCACGCACACCAUGAGAAUCCCUUCCAUAGGUACAUCCAAAAAAGUUGGAACCUUUUUCUUUUCUCAAAUUACUCACUUGUUUUGUUCCCCGUACUUGCUUAUUAUUGUUAGACCCAAAAACGAAAAACCAUGCCGUGUGUGUGAAGAUUGCUACGUUUUCAGUUGUUGUCACGAGAGUGGCUCCCAUGGCAAUAGCAACUUUUAUCUUCCAUUCAACUGAAAAAAAAACAUCUUACGGGUUCGUUGGCAUACCAGUUGUGCAGGGACUUGGAUUGGAUCCGCAAAGUCUUAUCCUAUCUGCUAUGCGGUUUAAUUAUAACCAGACAUUUUUGUUUUCUUUAUAUAUAAUUUUGUGUUCUUAAUCUUUUUCAUACACUAUAAAAAAAAGUGACAAUAGUUACCAUUUUGUCACCAAUUUUGGUGACUAUUGUGGGGUUACUAAAGGCUUUAGUCACAUUUUUUUUUACUUUUUUAGUGACUAAAAAAGCUUUUAGUCACAUUUUUUGCUUUUUUUAGUGACUAAAACCUUUAGUAACCCCCACAACAGUCACCAAAGUUGAUGACAAAAUAGUAACUGUUGCCACUUUUUUUUUAUUUUUUAUUUUUUAUAGUGAUAUACAUGUUUUCUUUUAUAAAAAAUAUUUAGGACAAAUACUCUUAAUCAUUAGAACUAUAAUAAAUUCCUUGUCGUUCAAUAGGUGUUUAUCUACGUUCAUAAAUUGGAUCCCCAAAGUCUCAUCCAAUCUAUGUGGUUUAAUUGAAAACAAUACUACAUUAAUUUCUCAUCUAAUUAGAAAAGACAUGAAAAUUGGUUUUUUCAUGAAUUCCUUUAUGGUGAACCGAAAUUCUGGUCAGAAAGCUAGAGAGAUUUUUGUGGUUGUGACUUUGUUUAUGAGAAUGUCUCUGUCCGGUGUCACGCCAUGACCUAAAUCUCUCUUCUUGGUUUUGCAGCACGUGAUCAGUUGAACAGUGGCAUUGAUCAUCCAACUUUCAACAUACAUCUUAUUUCAUAUUUUUUUGUUAACUUUUUUCAUUAAUUUGAUUCCAUUUCCAUUCAUCCUUUUUAUGGUUGAAGUUUUUUUAAAUUUAUCUACAGGCCUAGCUGGUACAAUAUAGUUAGGUAGGGCUUCGACUAUCGAGUCUAGAAUUGUUAUGAUGUUGCUGGAUAGUAGUGUGGUAGGGUCUCUAUGUUUUAUGUAUAUCUUUUUUCAUGGAACCGUUAUCGUCUGAUAAAUCAUAAAUUCAUGAAGUAAAACGAGUGUCUAAUAAUUGAUUAUGGACGAAAAAAGCUAUAUCAAAUUAAAAUUACUUGUAUGAUGACUGAUAAUGUCUAGAGGAAAUCGAAUAUGCCAAUUUAAAAUUAUAAUAAAUAAAUAUAAAUAAACUUUUAAUUAUGCAUUCUCCAUGUUAAUUAAUCUUUUAAUUAAGCAGCUAUGGGUUCAUGGUUUUGAGAGCAAACUUCAAAAUCUGUAAAGCUCAUUUACCUAAACCCUAAACCCUUUUUAGAGAGGCAUGAGCAACACGAGGGUUGAUCUACUUUGCACAUGUGGAUGAAAUUGAAUUACCAUAAUUGCUUUUCUUUAGAUUUUUCCACUCCAUGUCGCUUUUUUAAAAGCAAAAGGUCCCCUCCCUCUCUAGAGAGAGAUCUCUCUCCUUUUUUUUAAUUUUUUUUUAUAAAUAAUUUUUUUUUUAAAUUGUCUAAUUUGUGAUUUCCAAACAAAUUUAUUAUGUUGAGAGAACGAAUGUUAAAAAUUUAUUAUUUGUCUCGCCCAAUUGAUUUUGGAUGCCCCUAUUUAUUAUGUAUAUGAAAUAUUAGAUGCUACGUAGUACUUAUUUAACUGAAGAGUGAUCCAUCAUCUCAAUUAAAAGACCUUGUUAUCACUUAGAGCAUCUACAAUUAUGUUUUUUAUUUUUUAAAUUAAAAUUGAGUUAAAAACACAUAAAAAUUAUUUUUAGCAUUUUUAAAAAAAUUUGAACUCCGAUCAUACUCCCUAGUUUAGGGAGUCCUAAAUACUAUAAUUAUUUUUAAAUUCAAUAGAAUUGGUCAAUCACUAUAUAAAAAAAUAAAAUAAUAUUUAUUAAAAUUUUAAAAUAUGCCUAAAACAAAGCAGCAUUAAAUUAUAGGGAGACACUAUGAGUCCUUUCUCACUCCUCAUAUUUUAAGAGGUGUAUAAAAAGCAUGAUUGAAGUAUUUUUCCAAUUUCUUAGUAAAAUUUGUCUAAAAAGGCGAUUUAGGGAGCCCAUUGUGAAUGCUCUUAUAUAAAACAUAAUUUUUGUAUUAGAUUAUUUAUAAUCAACAAAAAAUUAAUUGGAAUAAACCAAAAAAAAAUGAUGAGUUGAGUUUUGAGGUGAAGAAUGUCUUCCCAUGUGCUUCCAAGUUUUACAUCAUCUCUUUGGUCUUCACUCAGCAAAUUAUUGCCCUGCUUUGCUUUCUGUUAUGUUCGAAAUUAGUCUUUCGUCCAAAAAAAAAAAAAAAAUGUUCGAAAUAAGUCUCUAUCUUCAAGAGUAUUAUCCUUUGGAAUCUACUUUUAGCCUAGGCAAUGCUUAUUAUGAUAUGACUAUUUAUAGACCACUUUAUCAAUUUUUUAAAUAUUAGUGGAGUCCACCAAUAUAAUUGAUUCGGCAUUUAUUAAAGAGUUGUUACACAAUGUGAUUUAUAAAUGUGAUAUUCUUAGCAUUUUUUCAUAUUAUAAUACUUAUCAGGUUUGGUAGAAGAUGGUCCCAUUCACAUUGACAUUUGUGGCAUUCGUGACACUUGGUAAAUCAAACUAUGUAAACAUCACAUGUGAAUCACUAAAUAAAAUUAUCAUUAUCUACGCGUUCACGUUUUUAACUUUAUCUAAAUAAAAGUAGACAAAUGUUGAUAUAUUUGCAUCCAAGAGAGUGAUCCACACACCCACAUGCUUUUCACAUAUCCAACAGAGACUUAAAACAGAAGCAAAACAACUAAAAGAAUUAAAGGGGAGAAGCUCAGCAUGUUCAUGUGACCUCAUUGUAGGGCAGCAGUUCCUUCCUCAACAGAGACCAAGAAAGGGGCACCUUUUUUUUUUUCUUUUUUCUUUGAGAAACUUGAAGAAUUUACUUCUUAAUUGCAAACAAGGAUGCUCUUCAAUAUAAUACAAAGUGACUUUCUGGAGGACGCCAAAAAAAGGGUAUUUUGUCAUUCAGAAUAUGAUGAAAUUAUAAGCGUGUUUAGCCAACUUUCAAACAGGAAAGAUCCAAGUAUCCUUUCUGCAAAACAAAUAAAAUAAAAAGGUUAACAAGACAUAAACCUAGCUGAUAAUUUAUUUCUUCAUUGUAAUAUGCAUAAAAAGUAUGGAAGACAAUAUUGCAUCUCAUCAAUCUAGAUGCUUCUACAGGUCCUUGUUGGGAAAUAUCUCAAUCCAAAUUCUACACGUGGAAAUAUUUUAUUGAGCUGGACCACACUUAUAUGCUACCGUCCAAAGUAAACAUGGCUAUAAAUAGAGGCACUGGGAAGCACUAAACUGCACAGCCAUCGGUUCAUAUAAGCCAUAAACCAUCUUUCUGUUUUCUUCUACCAUUAAGCCUUUUUCCAAGAGUUGUUAAACCUGUAAGCCAUUUCCAUUCACCAUGCUAGGCAUAGCACAAAAUGCGGUGAGCAAGGUGACCUCAGCAGUCACCAACACUGCUCACCACAUUGAGGGUGAGCUGAGUCUCUUUACCAUGUCUGACAACAAAAUUUUGGAGCUCAUUUAUGCAACCCAUGUUCAUGAGGAUGACUCGUUCGACGUUGACUCUCUUUUCUUGGUCACUGAAAACAUCAUCAAGCGUUCAACUCAGAUCGUUGAUAGCAUUGUGCAGGUAUGCUGCUACUCGUCUUGUCUUGUAUUUUUUUUUUUUUAAUAAUCUUUUCUAUUAAGAGGGGCGAUAGCAUACUAAACUUACACACACUACACGGAUGGUAGGACUCGAACCUAAGACUUUGCCUGAAGGAAUAAAUACUUCAUACCACUACACUAGUGAGUCCUUUGCGUCUUGUAUUUUUAUUAUAAGAGAAAUACUAGCUAUUUCCAUUUUCAACAUUUAAGUAAAUGUCUUUAUCUUUUUACUUUAAUUUAUUUUUAUAUUACUCCAUUUACUUAAGUUUACAAUGUAAAUAAGAAAGUAUCCCCCAUUUAGAUUCAAAUAAAAAUACUAGAAAAUCAAAUUCCUACCAAAUCAAAAUAUGAAAAAUCGGUUUUAGUGCAAAAUACGAUUUAGGCUAAAAAUAAUGGCUCAUUAAGUCAAUAUAUACUUCAUACUAAAAUCCCAUAAAAUCAAGUUUUCUUAUUUGAUGUGUAAGGAAUAAAAGCCGUAAAAAAUUAUCUUGAGAAAAUGAUUAUUCUGAAAAUCUAUUUUUCAUACUUAAUCAAUUUUACACAUCCGUUAAAAAAUUUCUGGGUCUGCCACUGACUACAAUCAUUAAGACACGUGUUGGUAUCUAGGGCCAUAGCUUGCAUUCGUCUUAGUGGUGAUGUUGAUUUAUUUUUAUUUCUUACAAGUACUUUGAUUUUCAUAUGGUUGAGUUAUGAGUUGGCGUUGUCCUACUUUAAUGGCACGAGAAGAAAUGAGGAUUGGACAAUUUCUUUAAAUACAGGACAAGUAAAUGGGACAAUUAAGUCGUUUGAGGCACCAAUCUUAUUGGGGUCCCGGUCCCCAACAUGACAGCUUCUUUUGUAGUUGUUUCUGAAAGUUGAGUAAUCGCACCAAAUUUAACCCAAAGUCACCCUAAUCAUCAUGCUACAUUAUUGCAUGGUCCACCCAUGUAAUUUGGUUUUCUAAACUAAUAGCUUUUUGGUCUUCAAGAGAAGGGGAAUGGGGUCCACAUUUUUGCAAUGCCAGGAAACACAACCAAAAAAAAAAAAAAGCAAAGAUUAAUUUUCUUUUUUCUUUUCUCUGAGGUCAGAAUAUUUUAUACUGUUUUGGGAAACUAUUUUGACAGAAAUGUCUCUUAACUUUUUCUUCAAGAAAUUUUUUUUUUUCUUUUCUCUCAAGUGGGAUAUGGAGAAUAUUGUCAAAAUUUUAUUUUGGGACUUCAAAAUAAAAACUGUGUCAGACAGAACCAUUUGUAAAUGCUCUAUCUCAUAUCUAUAUACAAACUUAUUUCCCAAACAAAAUGAGUUCAGUUUUAGUGCCUGAAUGUAGAUAUUAUUGAGCUGGACAACUUGGUUUGACUAUCGCUUGAAGUUUAGACCAUCGCUUGUACUAAAAAAAAUUAGAUAUGAUUUACCUGAAUAAUUUGUGGAUAAUAUGAUCAGCCUCUCCAGUCUCCGUUAGUGUCAAUUUAAUUUUAAAAGUAACCUGAUUAUAUUGUUAGAAGAAUUAGAAGUAAUCUGGACUUAUCACUUUGUUGAGCUUUUUGAGUGUUAGAACACUGCCAUUGUUGAUUACUUGUGAAUUUGUUGCAGGGCACCCAAGUUCACGUUGACACCAUAGAUGAGAAGCCCCCCAAAGCCAGCUUCAGCUCCCCAUUGUGCACUCUUAAGUCCAUUGGCUGCGAGGUCAUUAAAUAUCACAUAGCCUAGUAAUUAAUUCUUAAUUCUCAUUUUUUUAACUUUUCCGCAUAAUUCCUAUAACUAAUCUGCUAUAUUUGUUAAUUCAGAUGUCAUGCAAGCCUCCAGGUGAAGAGAUUUCCCACAAAUCAACACUAGCAAUACUUAACAAGGUUUCAAACUAUUCAUGGGAAUCCAAGGCAGUGCUGGCCCUUGCAGCCUUUGCUUUGGAAUAUGGAGAGUUCUGGCUGCUUGCCAAGAUUCAUCAAUCUGACCUCCUUGCCAAGUCUGUGGCAAUCCUUAAGAGAGUGCCGGUGCUUCUGAAGCCUGCGGAUCUCCAGAAGCGCAGGCAAGCGGUUGUGGAGCUCAACGUUCUGAUCAAGACCACAUUGCAAGUGAUUGAGUGUAUCUUUGAGCUGGAGAAGCUUUCUACUUAUGAUCCAAAGGAUGUGCCAGCACUGGCAAUUGCAAUGGAUCAUAUCCCUGUGGAUGUCUAUUGGUCUAUCAUAACUAUUGUAGCUUGUGCCACUAAGAUCACCCUUCUCACUAGUGAUGAGUAAGUUCAUGUCUAUACAAGUUAUAGUCUUUGUUUAAGGAACUCGUAUUGGUACUCCAAAAAGAUCAUCCUGCACUCCCCAUUUUUAAAACACAAGAAAGAAAUUGCCCUUGGAGAAGUGCAAGAUGAGUUCCUUGAACAAUAUGCAAGAGAUUUUAUUGGUACCACUUUAUGUAUAUGACUUUGGUUUACUUUGGUGCAGGGAGAAACACUAUGACCUGUCCCAAUUUGCUCAAAAAAUCCACUACAUCCUUAACAAGCUUAAGAUACAAUUGUUGAUCUGCAAAAAACAAAUUGGUGGGUAUUAGUUUAUUUAUAUCACUCACUACUUGUAUAUGUUGCACUAUAUAUUCGGCGUUGUUGAAGACUAAAGUCUGUUCUCUGUUUUCUGUUUGAAACAGAGGAGGCAGAGACCUAUCGAAAGUUGAGGAAACUUUUUCAGACCCCUGCCGAAGUUAUGGAGGUUUUCAAGGCCCUGAUUUUCACCAAGGAUACUGUGCAGCCAAUCAUUGAUGGUUCUACUAACAAAACGGUUUGCUCUCAUAGCACAUUUCUUAUAAAUUAAUUUAACCAUUGCUCUUUGUAGUUUGGCACUUAAUUUUGCCAUUGUGCCUAAUUGUUGAAACAGGUUAACAUUGAUGUGCUGAGGAGGAAGUAUGUGCUGUUGUUCAUCUCCACCCUGGACAUUUCUGAUGAUGACAUUUCGAUACUCAAACCGGUUUAUGAGGGAACAAAGAAAGAGGAUAAGUAUAAGAUUGUGUGGAUCCCCAUUGUGGAGCAUUGGACUGAUGAGCUACGAAAGAAGUUCGAGCUCUUGCGGGCCAAGAUGCCGUGGUACACGGUGCAGUAUUUUGCACCUGUAGCCGGCAUCAGGUUCAUCAAGGAGGAGUGGCACUUCAAGGGUAAGCCUGCAGUGGUGGUGAUGAACCCACAGGGCAAGGUGGAAAACACCAAUGCCCUCCACUUGAUUCGGAUUCAUGGAAUGAAGGCCUUUCCUUUCCACAAAGGGAUAGAAGAUAAAAUCACAAAUGACAGAGAAUGGAUCACCCCCAUUGUGAAUGAUAUUCACCCAAGCAUACAGACCUGGGUAAUUAAAUUAAUUUUUACAUCUGCAUGCAUUUUAACUCAAGUUUUACAAUGUGCACAAAUAAAUUCAUGGUUCGAUUUAACUUGUAACAUAUUUGAUUUGAUCCAUUGACAGAUCAAAGAGGAGAAGUUCAUUUUCUUCUAUGGAGGCAAAGACAAUGACUGGAUCCAGCAGUUCACAAAGAAAGCAACCAUCAUUGCAAAUGAUCCCUCCAUAAAGGACUUAAAGAUCAACAUUGAGCUGUUCUGUGUUGGGAAGAGCCCCAAAGGAGGGGAAGACCUUGGCGUUCUUGGGCGCUUUUGGAACGGCAUAGAGAGCUUGUUCUUCACCAAUGUCAACAAGCAAACUGACACUGUGACCAAAGAAAUCCAAAAGCUGCUUUCCUACAAAAACGAGAGUGGAUGGGCCGUGCUUAGCAAAGGGUCUACCGUGGUGGUGAGCGGUCAUGGCUUCACAAUCUUGAAAGUGCUUGAUGACUUCGACACAUGGAAGACCUUCAUAAAGGAAAAGGGAUUUGAACUUGCGUUCAAAGCACACUAUGAGAAGGUUAUUCAGACAAUGAAGCACUGCAGCCGCCUGGAUAUCCCAACUGUUGCUGGGAAGGUGCCUGAGACCAUGAAAUGCCCCGAGUGUCCUCGCACCAUGGAGACAUAUGUGAGCUACAAGUGUUGCCACACUGAUGGUCCCAUUAACGCACAUCACUAAAGCUCUUGUUUCUGCUGAGUUUAUGAGGGCAUCAGAUGCCAUAGUAAUACUAUGAGAAUAAGUAUUAUGCUUUCUUGUUUUGGUUUCUACAAUAAUCAUGGGCAGUUCAUUACUUUGGUUUGGUAAUGUGAUGUCCAACAAUGUGAGUAUGAGUCUGAGUCUGAGUGUUGUGUGUGCAUCCAGUAUUGCAAAUGUAAUGUUCAUCUUUGUUGUUGGAUAUUGUCAUGUUAUGUGAUCGGCCACAACUUUUUCAUCAUCGCUAUCAUUUGUAUUUUCCUCGAAUCAGUAGCCGCUUCAAGAUUUGUUGUUGCUUCAUGUGCUCUAGGCAUGGAGAAAUGAAUAUUUUAGCAUCAGAAGCCAUUCGAAAUGGUUGUUUCUCUUGAGACCAUGAUUUAUAUGAUGCCAAUAGGAAAAAAAUUGGUAGUAGGUGACAAGACCACUAAGACUAAAACCAAAUGACUGUUGCAACAAUUGUUCUAAAAGACCACUAGAUGAGGAUGAAUAAUGUCACAUCCUAUGGACCCGUCAAGUUAUGCUCUCAUACUCAACAAAAUAUUAACAAAGUUGAAGUCAUCCAACUAUCAAUUCAGUAUAUCAUGGCUAGUAUUAAAUAGGAGUUUCAUGACAUCAAUAUCACAAGCAAGUCUGGCCCAAAGCCUAUGCGGUUUGCAUGGAUGCUAGAAUGAGUUGUUAUUGUGAGGGGUUAUAAUGAGAGGGUCCUUAAUAACUAUUCGAUCUAGUGCAGAGUUAUUAUUGGACUGUUGGAUUGAACCCCUCAUUGUAACCCCUCAAUAUAGCCUCUCAUUAUUGAAGCUCCCGUGCGGUCUCUGCACUCAUGAUCACAUAGGGUCCAAACAUUAAAGGCCUCUUAGAGAUGAGUAAGUCCAGUAAAUAAGAGAACAAAAAAGGUCUUUUCACAGGUAUUUGGUUGAUAGUUUGGGCUUUCUUCCUCUUUUCUAUUACAAGGAGACUCCUUAAAUUUUGUGAAAAAAUAGGUCUAUUUUGUUGAGUUAUGUGAAGUCCCACACCAAAUAUUUAAUAAAAUAAGUAAAAAUAAUGAAUGAUAUCACGAUUAAUAACAUCAAGACUUUUUGUAUAACACUAUACAAACGUCCAACUGUGCAAACGGUUACAUUUGGGACAUUAUUGAUGUUGGUAGUAGUUUUAUUGGUUUUAGUUCAACUUUUUAUUAGUACAUAAAGGGGGCCUCGACCUUUUAUUUUGCACAGGAACUCCUAAUUCCAACGCCCUUGAUCGCAAGGUAGCCAGCCUAUGGAGGUGAAACUGUGGCAACAAUUUACUCGACACUUCUCAUCUAAAUUGAGGGAGGUACAGGUGGUUUAGUGUUUCCCAAAUUGACUAUUUCACAAGGAAUGAGGAAACUUGAACUGAACUUCAACGAGUUCAAGCUCAGUGGAAAAUGGUAUUGACUUGCAAACCAAUGAUCUCAGGUUCGAACCUCUAUGACACGUUGAUAUUGUGUGUGUAAGAUACCCUCUUUCUAAAACCCUAAGAGGCGCCGCACCAUCUCUCUCAAUCCCUCAUAGCCUUGGUGUGCAGCUCCAAGGGACCUCCAAGCCUAUUUUCAUGGGUUCCAAGAGGUCGUGCCACCCCAUUGUGGCUCCGUCACUGCCCUACACCAUUCCAAGAAAUGACAAAUGGACCUAUUGAAUUUAAUUUUCAUUAUUAAAUUACUUUGAUGCCUUAUUAAGUGUUUUAGUUUUUAUGAUUUUUUAUGAGAUUUUAAGAUUGGGCUUGUUUUAAGAAAUCGAUGGCAGUUUUCUAAUUUAUAGGGAGUUCAAAGCCUCUUUGUUAUGUUGUAAAUGAGUUUUGGAUCUAUUUUAAAGUCCAUUUCAUGUGGGGUUAAAUUUUUUUAAAAAAAUGCCCUUGUAUUGGGUAUAAUAGUAAAUCUCCCUAAAAAAACUUGAACUGAACUUUUGGUCCAACAAAUUUGGUUCAAAUCCCAAAAGGGUGCAAACCCCAAAACUUUUGGUUCAAUAAAUUUGGUUUGAUAUUGUUGAGGCCAAAAAAAUCCACGGUUGGGCCCGAAUAAAUUCCCGGCCCAAUACGACACAUCAUUGAGAAAAUACCCAAUUUAGAGCAUGCAAAAGUCCGCCAUGCACGAGUCACACUCCACGUGCCAUGCCAAAUAAAUAAUCCGUCAUGCUAGGAAUCUAGAUUAAGAUUAUAAAAUGCAUUAACUCUGCAAAUCCAUGCUAAUUAUCCCGUCAAGCAUUAUAAUUAAAAGCAUGCCAAGCGACAUGCCAUGCCAAGCAGGAAAUCAUUAUUGCAUACCCAACCACGCUACAAGCCUAAGUGGACCCAAGCCAUUCGAAUGCCAGGGGCUUGCUUGAGUGAGUUGUGGUAUGGAUGGUAAUAAAUCGACAUGAGGCCUAUUGAUAGGCCGAGACAUGGAAGUAUCGGGUUGCUUAAGAGCCUCAGGACUCAAGUCCAUUUCCUAGGCCUAAACAUGUGGGUGAGCACAAAAGAGGAAAAAAUAGCCCAAUCAAAAUAGCCUAUUGACUCAACCAAAAAGCCCAACGUUUAAUAAAAAUAGCCUACUUACUUAAUGAACCACCUUGGCCCAUACAAUUACCAUAAUAAGCUACAAAGGCCCCAGCACCUGGCUGGAAAAACAAAAGCCACAAGAGGAGGUCUGAAGGUUCAUUGAACAAAGCUGCUGGGAGGUUCCAGCACAUGGGGGGAGCAAGUUUCAAGCAAAAAAAUUCAAGGAACCAAGGGAUAUUAGCGCGCAAGCUGCCAGGAGGAGAAACACCCUUCGGACCAGCAUGUACAUCCAUUUGCUUUCCUUCAUCAGAUCUAGCCAUGGAAGAAGGAAGGAAAGAAGAAGAAAAAUACCUGAGAAUGAGAAUCUCCCACUGAAACAGCUGUGGGAAAUGGGCCUUAAGCUCCAAAAAAUCCCUGAUUUUGUGCAAAUAGGCAGAGAAAAUUUCACCAAGAUAGGAAAAGUCAAGGGAGGAGAGGAGAAAGGAAGGGAAAAGCUUGGCCAAAUUGGGUAGAAACCAUUAGGGUUUCUUGGGAAGGGAUGGUUUCCAGCGGCUAUAAAAUGCGGCCUCUUCUACCCAACAAAAUCAACCUACAUCCAGAGAGCAAGCUUCCUCUCUUGCCUACAAAACCUAGCAAUUUGGUGCACUAUUCAUGCUUCUUCUCCACUUUCCUCUUCUGGCAGACCAUUUUCAGAAUCUCUGUCAAUCUGUCGGAAGAACAUUGUUCUUUCUUUCUCUCUUCUCAGCCAAAUCUUCUUGCAAACCUUUCCUUUCUUACCUUAACACUCAAUUUUUCCCCAAAAAAGCAUAAUUUUCUCUUCAGUGCUAAACUCAUGUCCAUUUUGCUUCCAUGCCACAAGUCUUUCAUGCCAAGCUAGAAAAAUUUAUCUAUAAGCAUUAAGAAAUCAUCUGUAAGCUACUGUUAUUUUAGUUGGUGAAGGUAACCAAGAUGCUUCCUAAGGCUCUACUGCUAUUUCGAAGCAUUUUUUGGGCUUGAUUUUCGAACUCAGACACAGAGGACAUGUAACACCCCGACUCCAAAUUAAAUAUUUAUUUUAAUCGAUUUAAAUAAAAUUACGAAUUUACCCUUCGGGUAGGGGUAAAUUGGUCACUUUCUUCAUCGAAAGGAUUUUGGGACUGUGGAUGGUAUUUCUGAGUAGGUGGUUCUGAGACGAAUUCGUAGACAUGCGAUAGGCUUGAAUCGAAAUUGUAACGAAAAAGUUACGGGCAAAACACUAUCAGUGACAAAACUGUAAAUAUUUCAAAAAAUGUGGUAAAAAUCAGAUUUUUCACCUCAGCUCUCUCUCUCCUCACGCGUGCUCGACACUCUCUCUCUCCUCAGUCUCUCUCUCUCCCCGACACCGACUCUCUCUCUCCUCGGUUCUCUCAGCUCUGGCCACGGCAGGACACGAGACCGGUCCCGAUUGACUCGCCUCGACGUCCCGAUCAAGACCUGCCCGUUUUUCCCAUCGGAAACUACGAAAUCCGGCCGCGAGCUCGACUGUUUUGAAUCGGAGCUUUCCCGCCGUCGCGCCGCUGCCUCCGCCGCCCAAACCCGGUGAGUGAGGUAUGGUUUCUCAUCCAUUUUUCGAGUUCUAGCUGACUGUUGUAUAGGUUUGGACCGAUUCGUUGUCUAGGAAAUCAAUUAGAAAAUCUAGGUUUUGGCCGGAUUUCAAAAUGAAAUUCCGGCCAGUUGCCGCCCGAAUUGGACAUUCCCGUAGUUGAAUGAAGUGAUCCUGACCUCGAGUAGGAGCUAGGGUAGGAAGGGUGAGCUCGGGUGUGGAGUUUUUCCGUCGCUGGAAUUACUCUACACACCCACGCGCUGUCGGCGUGUGUGGCGGCGCGUGGGCGAGGCUGGUGAAGCUGUAAAUUAACCCGAUGAGAUCCUUAGGUUGUCACGAGCGCAUAGGAAUUCGCGGAUCUCAAUUCGGAUGUCGUUUGACUAUCGAACGAAUUUUCGCAUAUUGUGCGUUAAUAGAGUUCGAUAGGUUUCGACCGUUAGAUCUUUCUCAAAUUAAAAUAUGUUGUUCUAGGUAUUCCUAGGACCAUAUGGGACUUCACGAAUUAUGAAUCGGAGCCCCGGAUGUUCCGAUUCAAUAAUGCAAAGUUUGCAGGUUAGCGAUAACCGUAAAAUCGUAAACGAUUCCUAAACCUGUAAUCGGACCUUAGGAAACCUUCUUCAACAUGCACGUACGGGGAAUUUGGGGAUUUAAGCAUUUAAUUUGUGAUUUCCGCUUCGAUGUAAUUUUAUAUUAAUUAACGGUUCGUAUCUCGAAAUAGGUGUUUCGACUGCACGUACGUAGCAAGCAGGACCCUCACGUGGUCAGGCAGCUUGAGAAUACUUGUGAGUGGACUUUGUUUUCAAUCAUAUGCAUGGUUUUAAUUGACGAAAGAUUUUUGCAUAAUGUUUUAAUGGCUUAUGGAAUAUAUAUUAUAUUCAUGAGUUGAUUAUGAUGGUUGUAUAGCACUUGGCAAUAUAUUGUGAGUUUGGCAUUUUGGGUUUUGGAGAGUGCAUUUUAUUUGGGUUGUGGGGAAGUAUAUUUAUAUAUUAUCUAUAGACGAGAUACUUGGGUCGUUGGAGGGUGUUGUGGAAGAAUUUGACUUUGAGAGGAGUUGUAUGAUUACACUAUGUAAGUACCUUCCCCAGUUACCAGUCUCACUCGCGGCGUUGGAUGUUCCGGCGUGUGAGACACUUUCCAUAUGCGGCGUUCGAUGUUCCGGCGUAUGGAAAGACUUUGUAUAGAGUUUAGGGUCAUCACCAUGGCGUUGGAUGUUCAAGUGUGUGAUGAUCCAGUCUGCGCGCGUAGGACAUAGUUUGGGAGCUACACAUGGCGUUGGAUGUUCCAGUGUGGGAGCUUUGGAGUUUCGUCCCCCGGUUGGACCGCUCAUCCCUAGACGCAGAAUAGCACCUGGAAAUCCUGCGAACUAGUCAAAUGAUCCCCCAGUUAGAUUGUUUUCCCGGUACCUAGGUGGUGUGAUGAGUGUAUCGUAUAGCUAUUUAUAGUUAUGUUUAUAUAUAUAUAUAUAUGUAUAUUUAUAUGUAUACGUAUAGUUGAGUGAGCAAGGAAUUAGAGUUUGUUUAGUGGUUUGACAGGAGUUGUAAGAUUGAGAGAGUGGGUUUCUUUUUGAAGGAGAUAACUGGUGUUUUUAGAAGAGUUUUAAUGAAGCAUGUUUUGAGUAAUUAAUUAUUGAAUUGUGAACCUGUAUGACUUGAGCAUUAUUUUUACAUGGUGGGGUUACUAUAUUAUUUUUAACUGCAAAUCUGGUUUUUUUUCCACUCACAUGUUUUCUGUUUUGCGCCCCCCAGCCAGUAGUCGCUCCAGGAAGCGUGCAAGUGGUGUACGAAGCUCAAACUGUGCAUCUUUCUAGUUAGGAACUGAGUAAUUUCUUCUACUCAACUGUUCUUGUAAUCUAAAUUCAGUAGAUGCUCUGUAUUGCCCAUGGUAGAUUUUUACUUGUGAGGCCGGAGGCCGCUCUAGUAUGACUUGUAGAUUUAUGAAAGCAUGCUGCUGGUUGGAAUUAUUUUUAUUUUUAUUUCAUGCAUGUUGCAGGUUGAGUAAUAUUCGUUGGGAUUGCUUAAAUUACAGGGGAGACUCUGCCAAAAUUUUGGUAGAAAGUCUCUAUUUCUUAUUAGGUGGGCCCGGCAUCGGGAUGAUGUCGGAAUAAAGACGGGGUCCGCUUCGGUUUCCGAGAAAUUUCGGGACGGGUCCUGUCAGGACAAUUUCAUCAAUCUGCCAUUUACGGCAACCCAGACCAUUUACAGCUGCCGAAAGAAAAAGCCCCCACAAAUAUAUCAAAUUUAUAUGUUUAGCCGUGUUGUGGUUUGCUAUUCACCGAGAAAUCAAACUCUAUCUCUUUUUAGAGCCACAUGUCUUGUUCCAAUAAGAUUUUUAACAAGCUUAAACAUUGUGCUUUCCCCGUAUACCCACUGCAGCAUUAACACUUUUUUAUUUAUUUAUAAGGAGCACUAGAUUAGAUUGGAAAAUACCUAUAUUUCAUGUGCAUUUAUAGUAUAAUAUGGACAUUGUUGUCUAACUUGGUGGAUAAAUGGGGACUAUGAUAGGUUGAUGGCUAAAACAUAUCCCAUCUAAUCUCCUUGAAAAUAAGGGAUUAUGAGGGAUAAGUUUCAGUCAUCAACCUCUUAUGAAUAGUCCUCCUUCAUCCUCCAAGUUAGACAACAAUGUUCAUAUUAUGUCUUGAUUCUAGUCUAGUCUAGUCCUCUCUAUCAACAAGCUCUAAGUGUGUCUAUUCCCUCCUUUUCCCGUCAUUUCAAUUUUCUCUCUCCUCUCGCGUACACACACUGCUCUUCAUCUGCUACUCUUCUUCUUUUUUUCUCCUCUAUCCCCCCAUCUAAUUCCUUUCAUUACUCUUUAUUUUUGAAAGGAACCUAACUAAAGGACGAUAAAAAUUACAUUGUGGAGUAGGCUCAAACAAGUGCCUAGCGCGCUUAGUGCUUGAACACUCUUGUACGUAUAUGUAUUAUUUUGAACUAUUUUUGGUUUUAGAUCAGAGUUAUUCAUAUCUUGAUUCUAUAAUACAUGUUUUUCAUGUUUGUCAAAAAGAAGAAGAUGUGAAAACUUGCACAAACGUAACAUAGCUGUGACCUCUAACCUGUCCAACACGCCUGUACCCCGACAUAAAAUAUGUUUAGUAAACAAUUGUAUGAAUUAUCUAAUACUGAGGUAGAUACUUCUCUGAAACAGGAAGAAAAUAAAUAAAUAAAGUGACGUAGACACUGACCCAAAAUAAAGACGUAGACUACUAUGAGGUCGGCAAUUCACGGUGGAUGACUUUGUCACUUGUGAACAGUCGUGGACUUGUGUGCACAUACAAAGUAUAUUUUGUGAUUCCGGAUCCGAUCAGCACGGCAGAAAAGAUUAACUUGUUGGGAUUGAAGCCGGCAAAUUGGGUUCCAAUCAUUUCGAUAGGCACAUAGAAAGCAUAUUUCAUGAUAUCUUAUUAGAACUCAAAAACUUACACGUGGCUUUCCAUGGCGGGGUGGCAAUCCUCAACUUAAUGAAAUAUAUAAUAUUAUUAGUGCCUAACUUGAGGGUGUAUUUGAAUGUGGUUAUUAUGUACAUUGGUGCACAGAUGUGAAGAGUAGUUGAAUGUUAAGCAACUUUGCACGGACAUAUAAGAUGUUGAACUAUUUUCCUCAUUGCAAAUUGUAUUGAGAUUGAAACCUCAACUUUUUCAUCGUAAUAGAGCACGUUUUAGGGUGUAUAGGAAACUGCCAUAUUUUUAGAUUGGUUCCGCCGUAACACGAUAUUAUCCGCUUUGGGUCCCCUUUUCUGUCCUCACGGUUUUGUUUAUGGGAAUUCACGAGCAACUUUCCAGUGGGUCACCCAUCCUGGGAUUAUCUAGCUCCAACUCGCUUAACUUCGGAGUUCCCAUGAUUCCGAAGCUAGUGAGCUCCCAAAAGGCUUCGUGCUAAAUGGAGGCGGACAUGUACAUAUAAGGCACAUCACCCCCUCUCCGUUGGUCGAUGUGGGAUGUUACACAAACCUUGUAAAUCUUGUAAAUAUUGUGUGUAAACACAAUUUCAAGCGAACAUUGUAAAUCUUGUAUGUUGUGUGAUCAAUUGCUUUCUGAAUUGUUUUGCGCAAUUUUUGAGCUAGGAAAAUGCGUAGAGAAAUCCCAACAGUUGGUAUGGUAGGUGCAAUGUGAAAGGAAAAAAAAAAUAUUUAUUGUAUUUUUGUAUGUAAUGUGUUCAACCAAAUGGGCCCCAAACGUUAAAUAUGAUCGAGUUACUCAAAAUAAUAAUAUUGGAGAAUCAAAUUGAUAAACUGAACAUACAGUUGAGGCCGAGGGAGAGAGCACUGACUUUACAUUCAUAUAUAAAUAAAAAAUAAAGUCGCGAUCCAUGUGUGAAACGGUAGACUGGCCAUUUCAAAAUAGUAAAUUAGAGGAGGAUCCGCUUUUUGCGUAGUUUACAUGUUACCGUCCAUCCGUCAGAUGAAGAAGCAAAGGCUAUAAAAAGGUACAGUUUCAUAGUGGACAAGGCACAUUCAGCUCACUUGCAACACUUUGAAGCCAUCCCUAGUUCUUUCUGUUUCUGCCUCUGCUUAAACCCCAUCCCUAGUUCUUAAUCAUGAACAGCAUCCAGCUAAAUGAGUACAGCCAUUACGGGUUUACCUUAACCGAGCCAGAAGAAAUCUUGGAGAUCAUUUGUGAAAACCAUGCUCCUGAAAACCAUCCCAAGUUUGAUGUCCGUUCUCUUUUCUUCAUCACUGAAAACAUCAUCAAGCAUUCGACACAUACCUCAAUCGUAUCGAAAAGUGAUGAGAUCAAGCCCCAAAACUUCGAUAACUUCAUCUCCCCACUGUGCGCUCUCAAGUCCAUUGGAUGCGAGGUCAUACCAAUUUCUUUUUCUUUUAAUUUAAUUGCAUGACCAAAAUUGAUAUAUGCAUAUGCCUGAUGAUUAUUUACUUUCUUACACAUCUAAUAAGUCUUUGUUUGCUCUUGAAAUUUCAGAUGUCAUGUAAGGCUGUACGUGAAAAUAGUGCCCAAACCACAACCCUAGGAAUAUUUGGAAAGCUAACCAAGUAUUCAUGGGAAGCGAAAGCAGUGCUGGCCCUAGCAGCCUUUGCUAUGGAAUAUGGAAAUUCCUGGCUCCUUUCCCAGCUUUACCCCCAAUCUGACCAGCUUACCACUGCACUCGCAAUCCUUAAUCGCGUUCCACUCCUUCUCAAUUCCACCGCAAAUUUUAAGAAACAGCAGGAAACAGUUGUUGAACUCAACAAAACAAUCAAUGCGACGCUGCAAGUGAUUAAGUGCAUCCUUAAGCUAGACGAACUUUCUGCACAUAUUGAUCCAAACCAUGCAUCAUUGAAGAGUGCAAAAAAGGAUGUCCCAAUAAAUACAUAUUGGUCAAUCUUAACCAUCGUAUCUUGCGCCACGGAGGUCUUCUAUCUUACUAGAGAUGAGUAAGUAGUUCGGGCAUGCUUUCUUUUAUUCAUGUCGUAACCAUAUAGACAUAAUUAAAUUAUUAAGACCAUGAUUUCCUCCAUUUCAGAGAGAAGCCACAAGCUGUUUCAAUUCUAUCCCACUUUGUUACUAAAAGAAUCAACGACAUCCUAGCCAAGCUUAAGAGGCAGCUUACAAUCUGUCAAAAAGAAAUAGGUGGGAUGCUUCUGUGGAUGAAUUAUAUAACAUUGAACUUGACAUUUAAUCCAGUGCAUGCCCCACUGAAUAUUUUGUUUCGUUCUUCUUCUUUUUCCUUCUAAUUUAUUUGACACAGAUGAGCCAAAGAUCUAUAGGAAGCUCCUGAAACAUGUAGCCCAUGCCCAUGGUAAAAUUACGCAUGUCUUCAAUACUCUGAUUCUUUUCAAGGAUAAUGCUUAUGCGAAGCCAGCAACCCUUAGUGUCGGUUACACCAACAAGGAGGUUUGCUCUCAUAGCACAUAGUUUUUUGUAAUAUUUAGUAUGCUGUUACUAAUUUUGACACUCCACCAAUUCAAUUGUUUUUUUGUUUCCUCCUUUUUUUCUUUUUUCCACACAGGUUUUUGACAUCGACGUGCUGGACGGAAAGUACAUAACAUUUUACAUUUCGACACUAGACAAUGUUUCUCAUAAAGAUAUUUUAAGUCUUAAAGAAGUUUACGAGGGAACUGAAAACAACAAGUGUAAGAUUGUGUGGAUUCCUAUUGUGGAGGACUGGACUGAAUAUGGAAGAGAGGAGCAGUUUAUGGAAUGGAGGUCUAAGAUGCCGUGGUACGCAGUGCAGUAUUUAUCACCUGCAACCAUCAAGUACAUCAAGGAGGAGUGGUACUUUGAGAAUAAACCUUUGUCGGUGCUGAUGAACCCACAUGGAGAUGUUGAAAAUCUGAAUGCACUCAACUGGAUUCGGAUACAUGGAAUCAAUUUCUUUGCUUUCCGAAAUAUUAAUGUCAAGACAUGGAUUGCACCCGUAGUGCAAGAACUUAUGACCCCGGCAUUAGAUACCUGGGUGAGUAUGUAAUAGUUGUUUGACACCAACCGUCUAUUUUUUAAGUCUUUAUUUGAAGAUCACCUUUAAACAAAACAAAAAAUCAUCCUAAUCAGAAACCAUUUAAUUAUCAUCAUGAAAUUUUAAUGUUCAUAAAAACAGAGUGUUCAUCUAUUUAUUUGAUAAUAGUUUCCAAAUUAGCUAAUGUUUCCCAAAGAUAAAAUGUGCAUGAGUUUUAUCCGCAAAUCCCUAAUUAGUGUAUAUAACUUAUUGUUCGGCCGACAGAUGAAAGAGGGAGAAUACAUUUUCUUCUAUGGAGGCACAGAUGACUACUCGAUGGAGCGGUUCAGAAUGAAAGCAAACUGCGCAAAGGUUUCCAUCCUGGAGGAAUUAAAAAUCCAUGUCAAGUUAUUUUGUGUGGGGAAACUGGAAAAAGGAAGAAGCUUCUCAGAUGAGUCAAAUGCUGGGGGGUUCUGGUCAAGCAUACAAAGCUUGUUGUCUACCUUAUCUGAUUAUAAGCUGCAUGAGGAGCACACGGCCUUGAGAAAACAAGUCCACAAGCUACUUUCCUACAAAAACGAUGAAAGUGGAUGGUGUGUGCUUAGCAAAGGGUCUAGUGUCGUCACCAGUGGUCAUGGCUGGGCAAUUUCUAAGGUCUUGGAUGAAUUUGACCAGUGGAAGCAACAGAUUUCACAUGAAAGGAGCUUCGGAACGUGUUUCCAAGUUUACCACGAGAAGGUUUUAGCUCAGACUACAACUGCUGGUGCCCACUCUGCCGGCUGCAGCUUUGGCAAUGCUAGAAACAUGGAGUGUUGCCCAGUCUGUAAGACUCCCAUCGAGGCAACAUUGGUCAGCUAUAAGUGCUGUCGCAUGUGCAAUCUCACUCCCUACUAAUUGUCACCAUGCAAUUGGCUCCAUCCAGGGUUCAGAGUUCGUAGUUCAUCAUAUUUGCAUUGCAUGUGUUUAAUUUUUCAGUGAACGUUGGUCCUUAAUAAUAUGAGGAUUUUCGAAUGUCCUCGUUUUAAUAAUAUGACUGUGAAUGUGAUAAUCAUCGAUGUAUAUGUUCGUCGGUUUGAUUUCCAGAACUACAAGAUCAAGUAGUUAUGUUCAUGUUUUGAAUAUCAGUGCAUACAUGUCAUGUUUCGCUGCACACAGAUACAACUUUUUCAUCCUCCCUCGCAAUGUCUUUCAAAUUUCUACACCGCUAGAAGAUUAUAAAAUCCGAGUUGGGUUCGUCAGGUCAGCCAAAUCAUAUCAUUUCAAAAUUAUUGAGUUUACAAUUACACCUAAUCUUAUCAAAAUUAUUUAUUGAGUUUACUUCUCUCAAGUACAACGGAUCCGGAUUUUCAAAAACUAAAAAAAAAACAAAAACAAAAACAAAAAGAUUUUUCUCUCAAAUAUUCAGCCCCAAAUUCGUAAGUAAACCCAAACAAAUGGUCAGCCCCGUAUUAGUUUUCUUAUUAUAGACUCUGUAGGGUGGAUUAUAUGAUCAAAAUUACCAAGUUCAUAAUUCAAAUUUUGAAUUAGUAAUAGAAGAUUCAUUUAAUCAGGAUUUUAAGUUUCUUAUAUGUAUUUCAAAGGGCAAAAUGCAUAUCAGGAUUUUUGUAGAAAUGUCACAUGGACUUAUAUCUAAUUUGAAUUUGUCACUUAAAAAUAAAAAUAAAAAUUUCCAAGGUAUUUAGAAUGAAAAAAAAAUAUUAUUAAAAAAUUGUAUAUCUUUUAAGCAAUUAAAAAUGAAAAAAAAUAAUUAGGAAGAAAAAGCCUAAAAUACCCUUAAAAUAAUUCAUUGUUCUCUUUUUUUCCCCCUAAAAUAGAAAGAUUAAAAUACCCUUGCAUGUGACAUUUCUACAAAAAUCCCAAAAAUAAGAUAUAAAUGCCACUAGAUCUACUUCAACGACCAAAAAAAAAAAAAAAACCAUGGAUUAAACAUAAUAAGAAAACCGAACAAUUUGGGCUUAGAUCUAAAGACCCCAUAAUAAAAAUAUUUUUAUUAUUAAUGAAUCAAAUGUUUACAUCAGCUUAUGGCUUUAUAUAGAGAACUAGCUUAACAGAAUUACUUAGCAGCUAUUUCUCUCUAAUGAUAUUCUAACAACCCAAUUGAUUCAGCUCUAACUGUUAAAAGUGUUAAAAGUUAAAACUAAUAGCACAUGGCAUAACAACCCAAUUGAUUUGGUACUAGAUGUUUGUGGGAACACAUAUUUUAGCGACCAAUAAGAAGAUGACACGUGAAAAAGGAAUAUUCCUUAAGUCAACUAAUUACUCUAUUUAAUUAGGGAAAUUACCUUUGAAGAUAGGAAUAUCUCCCCAAAUUUGUAGACCGCACCCGACCGUUCUCCAUUACGGAUGAAAGAAAAAAAGGGUCGAGUGAGGUCUACAAAUUUCUUGAUGAGUUUUUUUUUUUUUUUUUUUUUUUCAGCUAGGUGUGAAACAUGGCUAUGGGCAUUCUCUUGGUUUAGUUUUAAUUUUAGGCUAAUAUGCGGGUUUUCCCCCUUAAAAUAUACUAUAUUUGUCAAUUUCUCCUCUCUUUUUUUGGGUAAAUUAAGGGCAUGAAUUAUUUAAAAAUAGCCAAUUUACCUCUUACGGUUGGAUUUGGGCUUUGAGGCUUGCUCAAGGCUAAUUUACUGAGUUUAACAUUGAAAGAGUUGGAGCAGUGUGGAUCUGUGUAAGUAUGUGUGUGUGUGUGUAUGUGAGAGAGAGAGAGAGAGAGAGAGAGAGAGAGAGAGAGAGAGAGAGAGAGAGAUCAGGAUGGGGUGGGGUGGGUUCGUCAGCGGAGGAGCGUGCAACUGUGUGCAAAAGGGAGGGCCUGGGUUUUUUUGGUUAAUUUUGUUUUUAACUUUUUUAUUAUUAUUUAAUAAGUGCAUUUUUAAAAAUUACGAAAUUACUCUUAAUAUUUACGGAAAAUUGGAUGGAGUUUGAAAAUCUAACGAUAAAAGGUAAAUGGGCUAUUUUAAAAUAAUUUGUGUCUUUAAUUUACCUAAAAAUAAUAUCUAGGGAGAAAAUUGACAGUUAUGAUAUAGUUCAUGAGGCAAAACUGCAUAUAACCCUUAAUUUUAUAUCUCAGCCGCCGAAGUUAUCUAACGAUUAAAACUAAAAUUCAUUAACAAAUCCGCACCCAACUCAUCCAAAGGACGCAUCCUCAAAGAUACUCAUUUGACUAUUAUCUUCCCUUAGCUACAUAUUAAUGGGCAGAACCAGUGCAAGUCUUGACUGUAGCAUAGGAAAGGUUUGGGAAAAAAAAAACAAAUUAAACAUAUAUAUAGCCUAAUAUUUAAACCAAUAUACAUAUACAAUUUCAUACCGUGCCAAGACCGAUAGGCAUAAUUAUAGGUCUUUCACAUUUGUAUUUGGUGUCAAAAUUUAUCCCAACAUCAAUUUCAAUCUUUUUUCAUUAAUUUGUCUCCAAAAGAGAAGCAUUUGUCUAAAUGAAAUUCACUCUUUCGUGAAUUAUAUGGCCCUAAUUUCAAUUUUUUUUUCUUCUUCUCUUGUUUGUAAUUAACAUAAUUUAUAUAAUUAAUGUAUACUUUUAUUUCUAGAAAAUUAUCGAAAAUGUAAGUACCAAAAGAAAAUUAUCAUUAAAUUUUAAGUUAAUAACUUUAACUCACUCACUCAUUGAAAAAUUUAUAGUUCGAUCCUAUUAAGGUAUGACAUCAUACAAAUUUCAUAACAUUGUUUGUGGUAAACUGAUAACCAGUGUGAAAGUAUAACAAAUAGUCUUACUACUCCACUAAUUAAUCUUAUCUUUUUUUUUUCUUUUGAUUUGGUAAUUAAGCUUAUCUUUAACAAGUGCCGAUGUCCAUGAUAUUCACAUGUUGCUUGCAACAGUGGCAUGGACAUUGAUGAAUGAAAGAAAAUACAAAUGUACGAUAUAUAUUUCACGAUGUUUUGAUCGGAUCUACCCAGAAAGAGUCGGGAUAUGUUCGGCAGCAGCAAUUUAUUUUCGUCAUAUAUUUAUUAUUUAAGCAUGUUCAAUUUUCAAAACGAGAAACAUAAUCAUGCCAAACCAUGUGAAUAUGAAGACAUAAACGAAAAAUUAUGGUUGAGUUAGUGGGAAUGCUUAAUUGGAGAUAAUAAUAACAAUUAGUGGCCAACGAGAAUGCACAUCACAUCUGGACAUUUAAAAAACUGUAGAUUAAUCUUUAUAAUUUGUUGGGGUUCUUGGGCCUAUACCUUCCCAAAAAAUAUGAGUCUGUAUUGUAUUCUAUGUUGAAGAAUCAAUACCGGAUUUUUUGGGAUUUUAAUGAAGUUUUUUAAAAGUUCAUAUAUGUAGUCAAUCGGAAUUUUCUACGAGUCCAUAGAAAUUUGAAUGUAUUUAAUACAAAAAAUUAUAAUACAAAAAAAAAAGAUAUAAUUCUUUAUUUUCACAUUAGGCCCUCAAAAACUCAGGGUCAACCCCGGCUAAAUCCAUACUUUUCCUAUAUUUUAUUGUUCUGUUUUCAAAGAAGCCACUAAUUAACACGUAAGUAUGAACGGUGACAUAAAAAAUUGAUAAUAAGACAAAUGACGUAAGACAACAACGAAAUGGAUGACGUCCGACGACUCGCCACAUAUGCACAAACGUGGUGGAGUUGUGUACAUAAAUAAGACAUGAACAAAUAUAUUUGAUGAUCUUCUGAUCUGCACAGAAAAAGAGAGUAAAUUGUUUUAUAUUUAAUCAUGCAUGUUCAAUUUUCAAAUACGAGGAACAUAAACAUUCACACUUUGUCAGCCAUAUGGUUAGUUUAGUGGGAAUGCUUAACUGGAGAAAAUAAUAAUAAUAAUUUGUAGCAAAACACGAGAUUUGUAUGUCUUUUAUUUUUUGUUUUCUCAGAAAGAUGAGCAGUCCGUCGCAGAUUUUUUGAAUUAUCAGACGAAACUGACCUAUCUCUUUCUAUAGUUUAAAAUUUGAUAGAAUUGUAGGGCUUUUCGCUUUCAGACCAUGUCAAUCAUUUCUGAUUGAUUAUCUGUCCAAAGCCAUUUACUUUUUUUUUAAAACAAGAAAUAAUUAACAUAUAAAACAAUGCGAAAUGAGGUGGAUCCUUGUUAUUGUACUAGACUCAGAAAUCUUAGCUAAUCAUUCUUGCAUCAUACUUUAAAACACCCAAUUAUGUGACUCAGAAAUCAUUAUAUUGUCUUUGUGGUGAAGCAAUUAUGUGAGUUCUGUUUUUAACCUUCAAAAUGAAAUUGAAACUCUUUAACACAAUUAAAACCCAAGUUUUAUAUUUGUUUCGGAGUUCGGAUAGGAAAAUAUUUAACUCCUUAUUCAAGCACUAUAUUUCUUCUUACUAUUUGGAAUUUUAAUAGGAAAAUAUAUACUUGACUCCUUACAAACAAAUCACAGUCUGAAAAUUUAUUUUUUAUUUUUAUAAUUAUAUUAAGGUACAUUCACAUACGUGUCCACUGUGAUAUUUGUGAUGGCCUUUUGUCUAUUGUUUUCAACCUUAUUGUCUCUUUCAGUUUGAGUAGCUUCACAUGGAGAUAACAUGGGGAGUAAUAUUUUAUUUGGGACAAGUUUUAGACUAAAUUGAAUAUGGCUAUAAAUAGGGCAGGCAUAUUGCAAAAGAAUGCUGCACCAACACAUCAAGCUACGAGCCAAUACCCGUUCUUUAGCCCUAGCCUUUGAAAUCCCCAGGACUCCCUACCCUAAGUCAUCAUCAUGCUAGGCGACCUCGCAAAAAAUUUGUUUUCUAAAGUUGAGGCUAGCCUGUUUUCCAUGUCUGAUAAGAAAAUCUUGGACCAAAUUUAUGCAACUCAUUAUGUCAAUGUUGAUACUUCCUUUGAUGAGGAUUCUCUUUUUGAAAUUGUUGAAAACAUCCUCAAGCAUGCAAUCCAAACUGUCGACAAAAUUGUGCAGGUACUUUAUCACAAAUAUUCUUAUUAAUUAUUACUAAUAUCUAAAGCACUGCUACAUAAACUUGUGGGUUGUUGCAGGGUACCCAAGUGCAUGAGGAAAACAUAGAGGAGAAGCCCCUCAAGGCCAACUUCAGUACACCAUUGUGCAUACUUAAGUCCAUAGCCAGCGAGGUAAUUACCUCAGAAAAUAAAUAAAUAUUUUUUUAUAUUGCUCGUAACAAUUUUCAUGUACAUACAUUAUUUUUUAUUUUUUUUAUUGUUUGCUUUCAUAUUUUUCAUAUUAAAACUAUUAAAUAAUUAAAUUUUCAGAUGCAAUGCAAACCUCCUGGUGAGAAAGUUGCCCAUGAAACUGCCCUCGCAAUACUGAACAAGCUGUCAAACUAUUCAUGGGAAGCAAAGGCAGUGCUGACUCUGGCAGCUUUUUCUAUGGAAUAUGGGGAGUUCUGGCUCCUUGCCCAGGCUCAGGAAUCGGACCGACUUGCCAAAUCAAUUUCAAUCCUGAAGAGAGUCCCUUUCCUCCUCAAGCCCUCAAACCUGCAAAAAAGAAGGCAAGCAGUGCUUGAGCUUAACAACUUGAUCAAGGUUACAAUGCGAGUUAUCGGGAUCUUCGAUCAGUUCGAAAAGCUUUCCAGUUACGAUCCAAAGGAUGUGCCGGAGUUGGCAUUAGCAAUGGAACAUAUUCCAGUGGAUGCGUAUUGGGCUAUUUUGACUCUUGUUGCUUGCGCAACGAAGGUCACUAUUCUCACCAGUGAUGAGUACGUUAACUCUUCAUUCUUAAUUGAUGUCUGACAAAAACAAAAUUCAAUAUUUGUUUAGUACUUCAAAAUAAUAAGACCAUGGUUGCCUUUGUUUCAGGGACAAGGAGCAUGACCUAGUCCCAUACGCUCAAAAAAUCCAUUUCAUCCUGAACAAGCUUAACAUGCAGCUGAAAAUUUGUAGAAAACAAGUUGGUGUGUAAUUACUUGCAGAUCCUUCAUUAGUCAUAUUAUAAUAUUAAUGAAAAAUGAUGAAAAAAGUAAUUUUUGUAUAAUCCGCAGAGGACGCAGAAGCUUACCGGAGGAUAAGGAAAAUCUUUCGAACUCCUACUGAAAUCAAGGAGGUUUUCAAGGCCCUGAUCUUUAGCAAAGACAAUGUUCAGCCACUGAUUGAUGGUUCUACUAAACAAACGGUUGCUCUACUGCCCUUACAAACUGUUGUUUAAGAAGUAUAUUAGGUUUUUAAUAGAGUGAAAUUGUGGUGGCCUAAUUGUUUAAACAGGUUGAUAUCGACAUCCUGAGGAAGAAAAACAUACUACUAUUCCUUUCAAGCCUAGAUAUCACUGAUGAUGACAUUUCUAUCCUCAAACCAAUUUAUGAGUUCACUAAGAAAGAGGACCAGCAUAAGAUUGUGUGGAUUCCAAUCGUCGAGCAGUGGACCGAUGAGCUGCGAAAGAAGUUCGAGACCCUGAGGAUCAUGAUGCCGUGGUAUACAGUGCAGAUCUCUGCACCCAUAGCUGGUUUCAGGUUCAUCAAGGAGGAGUGGAACUUCAAGGGUAAGCCUACAUUGGUGGUGAUGAGCCCACAAGGAAAGGUUGAACAUUACAACGCAUUCCACAUGAUUCGGGUAUGGGGACCCAAGGCCUUCCCUUUCACAGAAGCAACAGAA